UCAGACGAAUUCAAGUUGGUCAAGAAAGCCAAGUCGAGUAGUAAAUUGAGUCAAAAAUAAGUUGAGUAUUCAUAUAAUGCUCCUGGCGGACAAGAAAUCCUGUAAGCUGGAUUUAGAUCCAGUACUGAGCUUGGCUGUGCUCAUCUCUUCAUAAUCAUCUACCACACAUGCAUGGAUAGCAAUUUUAGGUGAAGAUUUAAUUAAUUUUAUAUUCUUAUUGUUGAGAAGUCAAUAUUAGCCCAAAUAAGUCCACACCUAAAUUAAUUUGAUGUCAUUGCUUACAUCAAUUUAGUUAGGUGAAAAUUAGGUAUUUUUCCCAUGUUUAAUUUCAAUGGUUUAAAUUAGUUUGUGGUUAUUUUAAUGAGUGGUUUAGAUUGUUUCUUGUAACCUAUAAAUACCUCAUUUGUAUUUGAGUUUUAUUAUUCAACAAUAAAAAGCUUUAUUAUAAGCAUUUGAAAGCUUUCUUAAGAGUUCUUCUCUUUUUGCAAUUUUGUGAGAUUAUUCUAAAGAGAGUUUUUCUUCUUCUUGAUCAAUUAGAGUUUUUACUCUAUUUUGAUUCAACAUUUGGUAUCAGAGCAUUGGUUGUAAAGUCUCUUGAAAUUCCGAGUAUGCUCUGUGGUUGCAGUUUUGACUGAUCUUCCACAUCAGAAAAGAUUUCUUGAGAUUAUUGCUGGGGUUAUCACAAACCUUGAGAGGGAGCUUCUUUGUGUCAAGAGUAGUGUAUUAUUCUGCACGGUAGUCACUCAAGAUUGUUCGGUGUAGUCAAAGUCUUGUCGAUACGAUGGGUGAUCUUCAAGUUGUUGGAGGAAUCAAGAAGCUCAACAACCAAAACUAUAACACGUGGGCAACGUGUAUAGAGUCUUACCUUCAAGGUCAAGACUUGUGGGAGGUUGUCGGUGGUAGUGAAGUUACACAACCGGCAGCGGAAGAUGCUAACGGCGUCUUGCGGAAGUGGAAAAUUAAAGCAGGCAAAGCAAUGUUUGCUUUAAAGACCACAAUAGAAGAAGAAAUGUUGGAGCACAUUCGGGAUGCUAAAUCACCGAAGGAAGCGUGGGACACCUUCACUACACUCUUUUCGAAGAGGAACGAUACAAAAUUGCAACUUCUCGAGAAUGAACUUCUAUCAAUGGCGCAACGCGACAUGGCGAUUGCCCAAUACUUUCACAAGGUGAAGUCGAUAUGCCGCGAAAUUUCAGAAUUAGAUCCGACAGCCGCUAUUGGGGAAGCCAGGAUAAAAAGAAUAAUUGUCCAUGGCUUGAGACCCGAAUACCGAAGCUUUGUAGCCGCUGUACAAGGAUGGCCGACACAACCAUCACUUGUUGAGUUUGAAAAUUUGCUGACAGGCCAAGAAGCUAUGGCCAAGAAAAUUGGAGGAGUCUCACUAAAGGGUGAAGAAGAAGCGCUUUACACCAACCAAAGCAGAGGUGGUUUAAGACAGCACAACAAAGGCGGAUCUAGAAAGACUAGUGAACAGACAAAAAGUCAUCAGGGAGGGAAUGGCUCUCGUCUAGGGGGAGCUUCGAAGAAUCGCGACAGUAAUAGAAAGUUCAUUGUUGAAUGUUACAAUUGCGGGAAGAAGGGCCACAUGAAGAGAGAUUGUUGGUCCAAAAGAAGUCUACCGAAAGCAAUAUUGUUACUUCUAGUUCUAAAGAAGAUAGUGAAGAUAGCUGGGAUGCCGAAGCAUUACUCGCUAUGGAGGAAGAAGAAUUAGCUCUCACGGUAACAACACCAGAAAAGAUUAACUACGAGAAUGAUUGGAUCGUAGACUCAGGCUGCUCAAAUCACAUGACGGGUGAUAGACAGAAGUUGCAAAACUGUUCUGAGUACAAGGGAAAUCGUGUGGUGGUAACAGCUGACAACUCAAGGUUACCGAUAGCUCACAUCGGUAAAGCGAUCGUUACACCUCGAUAUAGUCCCAACCAAGUGCCACUUCAAGAUGUCUACCAUGUUCCAGGAAUGAAGAAAAAUUUGCUAUCCGUAGCUCAAUUGACAUCAUUAGGGCACUAUGUCUUGUUUGGUCCACAAAAUGUGAAGGUAUUCCGAGACCUAAAGAUCUCAGAAAAGCCUACGAUGGAGGGACGGCGAUUGGAGUCAGUUUAUGUGAUGUCAGCUGAGUCUGCAUACGUAGACAAGACAAGAAGGAAUGAGACGGCAGAUCUAUGGCACAUGCGGCUAGGUCAUGUUAGUUAUUCCAAGCUAAGUGUGAUGGUGAAGAAGUCGAUGCUUAAGGGACUUCCUCAACUUGACGUGAGAACAAAUACUGUUUGCGCGGGAUGUCAAUAUGGUAAAGCACAUCAAUUGCCAUACGAGGAGUCGAAGUUUAAAGCAAAGAAACCAUUAGAGUUAAUUCACUCUGAUGUGUUUGGACCCGUUAAGCAACCAUCAAUUGGCGGAAUGCGGUAUAUGGUUACGUUCAUUGAUGAUUUCUCCAGAUAUGUAUGGGCUUUCUUCAUGAAAGAAAAAUCUGAAGCAUUCUCAAAGUUCAAAGAGUUCAAAGAGAUAGUCGAAGGAGAAGUGGAGCAAAAGAUUCGUUGCUUGCGCACAGACAACGGGGGUGAGUAUAGCUCGAGAGAGUUUUCUCAAUACCUACGGGAAUGCCAAAUACGUCAUCAGUAUACUUGUGCCAAUACGCCACAACAAAAUGGUGUAGCAGAGAGGAAGAAUCGGCACCUUGCUGAAAUUUGCCGGAGUAUGCUACAUGCGAAGAAUGUACCUGGAAUAUUUUGGGCCGAAGGUAUGAGAACUGCAGCUCAUGUCAUCAACAAGCUUCCUCAACCAAGGUUGGAGUUUGUUUCACCCUUUGAGAAAUUGUGGAACAAGAAACCUAUAGUUAGCUAUCUUCGAGUAUUCGGCUGUGUAUGCUAUGUAUUUGUUCCUGACCAUCUACGUAGCAAGAUCGAUAAGAAAGCAGUCAGAUGUAUCUUUGUGGGAUACGACAAUCAGCGAAAAGGGUGGAAGUGUUGUGAUCCAGUAGAUGGAAGGUGCUACACAUCACGAGAUGUGGUGUUUGAUGAAGCAUCCUCAUGGUGGACCUCAGAAAAAGAAGUGCUGCCAGACUCGAAAGAAUUCGAAGACAUGCUACAACAAAAGAUGGGGGAGCAUACUGUCCAAAUUCAUCUAAGCUCAGCUGGGGAUCUAUGCGAUAGUGAUAGCGAACGAAGAGUAACUCUAAAUCCUUGGCAAUCUGGGGUGUAUCGACAACCAGAUGAAGAAGGUGUGCCUAGUGAAACNNNNNNNNNNNNNNNNNNNNNNNNNNNNNNNNNNNNNNNNNNNNNNNNNNNNNNNNNNNNNNNNNNNNNNNNNNNNNNNNNNNNNNNNNNNNNNNNNNNNNNNNNNNNNNNNNNNNNNNNNNNNNNNNNNNNNNNNNNNNNNNNNNNNNNNNNNNNNNNNNNNNNNNNNNNNNNNNNNNNNNNNNNNNNNNNNNNNNNNNNNNNNNNNNNNNNNNNNNNNNNNNNNNNNNNNNNNNNNNNNNNNNNNNNNNNNNNNNNNNNNNNNNNNNNNNNNNNNNNNNNNNNNNNNNNNNNNNNNNNNNNNNNNNNNNNNNNNNNNNNNNNNNNNNNNNNNNNNNNNNNNNNNNNNNNNNNNNNNNNNNNNNNNNNNNNNNNNNNNNNNNNNNNNNNNNNNNNNNNNNNNNNNNNNNNNNNNNNNNNNNNNNNNNNNNNNNNNNNNNNNNNNNNNNNNNNNNNNNNNNNNNNNNNNNNNNNNNNNNNNNNNNNNNNNNNNNNNNNNNNNNNNNNNNNNNNNNNNNNNNNNNNNNNNNNNNNNNNNNNNNNNNNNNNNNNNNNNNNNNNNNNNNNNNNNNNNNNNNNNNNNNNNNNNNNNNNNNNNNNNNNNNNNNNNNNNNNNNNNNNNNNNNNNNNNNNNNNNNNNNNNNNNNNNNNNNNNNNNNNNNNNNNNNNNNNNNNNNNNNNNNNNNNNNNNNNNNNNNNNNNNNNNNNNNNNNNNNNNNNNNNNNNNNNNNNNNNNNNNNNNNNNNNNNNNNNNNNNNNNNNNNNNNNNNNNNNNNNNNNNNNNNNNNNNNNNNNNNNNNNNNNNNNNNNNNNNNNNNNNNNNNNNNNNNNNNNNNNNNNNNNNNNNNNNNNNNNNNNNNNNNNNNNNNNNNNNNNNNNNNNNNNNNNNNNNNNNNNNNNNNNNNNNNNNNNNNNNNNNNNNNNNNNNNNNNNNNNNNNNNNNNNNNNNNNNNNNNNNNNNNNNNNNNNNNNNNNNNNNNNNNNNNNNNNNNNNNNNNNNNNNNNNNNNNNNNNNNNNNNNNNNNNNNNNNNNNNNNNNNNNNNNNNNNNNNNNNNNNNNNNNNNNNNNNNNNNNNNNNNNNNNNNNNNNNNNNNNNNNNNNNNNNNNNNNNNNNNNNNNNNNNNNNGCUGUGUAUGCUAUGUAUUUGUUCCUGACCAUCUACGUAGCAAGAUCGAUAAGAAAGCAGUCAGAUGUAUCUUUGUGGGAUACGACAAUCAGCGAAAAGGGUGGAAGUGUUGUGAUCCAGUAAAUGGAAGGUGCUACACAUCACGAGAUGUGGUGUUUGAUGAAGCAUCCUCAUGGUGGACCUCAGAAAAAGAAGUACUGCCAGACUCGAAAGAAUUCGGAGACAUGCUACAACAAAAGAUGGAGGAGCAUACUGUCCAAAUUCAUCUAAGCUCAGCUGGAGAUCUAUGCGAUAGUGAUAGCGAACGAAGAGUAACUCUAAAUCCUUGGCAAUCUGGGGUGUAUCGACAACCAGAUGAAGAAGGUGUGCCUAGUGAAACAGAAGAAUCAACUCCAUUACGAAGGUCAACAAGAACCCGAAGGCCAAAUCCCAAAUACGCUAAUGCAGCCAUAGUUGAAGAAGCAACUGGAAUAGAACCUGAGACGUUCGAAGAAGCGUCACAGAGUUCUGAGUGGAUGACAGCUAUGAAAGACGAGAUCACUGCACUUGAGCAAAAUCAGACCUGGGAACUCGUGCCAAAGCCAAAAGAUGUGAAACCCAUAUCCUGCAGAUGGGUUUACAAAAUAAAGCACCGUCCAGAUGGGUCAAUCGAGAGGUACAAGGCUCGAUUGGUAGCUCGUGGUUUCUCUCAACAAUAUGGACUAGAUUAUGACGAAACGUUUAGUCCAGUGGCAAAACUUACAACCGUCCGAGUCUUACUUGCACUUGCAGCCAACAAAAGCUGGAACUUGUGGCAGAUGGACGUGAAGAAUGCCUUUCUCCAUGGAGAGCUGGAUAGAGAGAUCUACAUGAUUCAACCGAUGGGUUUCCAGAACCGAGGUCAUCCUGAGUAUGUGUGUAAGCUGCGAAAGGCUCUUUACGGACUAAAACAAGCACCCAGGGCGUGGUAUGGCAAGAUUGCUGAAUUUCUAACUCAAAGUGGGUAUUCAGUAACAUCUGCAGACUCCAGCUUGUUUGCUAAAGCUAAUGGAGAAAGGAUAGCUAUUGUGCUCGUGUACGUAGAUGAUCUAAUCAUCACUGGAGAUGAUGUUGAAGAAAUUUUCCGAACAAAGGAGAACUUGUCAGUUCGUUUUCAAAUGAAAGAACUUGGACAACUUAAGCAUUUCCUUGGGCUAGAGGUUGAUCAGACGAAAGAAGGGAUAUUUCUUUGUCAACAGAAAUAUGCCAAAGAUUUGUUGAAGAAGUUUGGGAUGCUAGAAUGUAAGUCGAUCUCAACGCCGAUGGAACCAAAUGCCAAGAUGUAUGCACAUGAAGGCAAAGACCUGGAAGAUGCAUCGAUGUAUCGACAAUUAGUGGGUAGUCUAAUCUACUUAACCUUGACUCGACCUGACAUUUCUUAUGCAGUUGGCGUGAUGAGUCGAUACAUGCAAAAUCCGAAGAAGUCUCAUUUAGAAGCGGUUCGGCGAGUACUCAGAUAUGUGAAGAGUACAAUAGACUAUGGUCUUCUAUACAAGAAAGGUGGAAAUUGCAAACUAGUUGGCUACUGUGAUGCUGACUAUGCAGGAGAUCACGAUACUCGCAGAUCAACUACUGGGUAUAUGUUUACCCUUGGAUCUGGAACGAUUUCUUGGUGUAGCAAGAGACAACCGACUGUGUCCAUGUCAACUACGGAAGCAGAGUAUCGAGCAGCAGCAAUGGCAGCUCAAGAAAGCACGUGGCUGAUACAACUAAUGAAUAAUCUACAUCAACCAAUAGAUUAUACAGUUCUGUUGUACUGUGACAACCAAUCGGCAAUUCGGCUAGCGGAGAAUCCUGUUUUUCAUGCAAGAACUAAACAUGUGGAAGUGCAUUACCACUUUGUUAGGGAAAAAGUUCUGCAAGAAGAGAUUGAGAUGAGGCAAGUUAAGACAGAUGAACAAACUGCUGACUUGUUUACAAAAAGCUUGAGUGUUGGAAAGUUUGAACAUUUCCGUCGUCAGCUUGGCGUGAUUCAAAGAAUGGGGGCUAACAUUGAGGGGGAGUGUUGAGAAGUCAAUAUUAGCCCAAAUAAGUCCACACCUAAAUUAAUUUGAUGUCAUUGCUUACAUCAAUUUAGUUAGGUGAAAAUUAGGUAUUUUUCCCAUGUUUAAUUUCAAUGGUGAAGUCAAUAUUAGCCAAAUAAGUCCACACCUAAAUUAAUUUGAUGUCAUUGCUUACAUCAAUUUAGUUAGGUGAAAAUUAGGUAUUUUUCCCAUGUUUAAUUUCAAUGGUUUAAAUUAGUUUGUGGUUAUUUUAAUGAGUGGUUUAGAUUGUUUCUUGUAAUCUAUAAAUACCUCAUUUGUAUUUGAGUUUUAUAAUUCAACAAUCAAAGCUUUAUUAUAAGCAUUUGAAAGUUUUCUUUAGAGUUCUUCUCUUUUGCAAUUUUGUGAGAUUAUUCUAAAGAGAGUUUUUCUUCUUCUUGAUCAAUUAGAGUUUUUACUCUAUUUUGAUUCAACACUUAUCUUUCUAAAAGAUUAACAAAAAUCUCAGCUCAGCGCUGAAUAAAAAUUCCUGUAAACUAGGAACAUAAAACUCAAUAAUGACAUGGAAAGCUUAUAUUCAAAUUCAAUUGUAUUCAUGAUAUGAUUAUUUCAAACAACCAACCAAAAAUACUUAAAACAAAAACCCAAUUGUGAAACUAAAAAAACCCAACUCUCAUAUUCUCCGAAGAAUGCACUAAAUUAAUUAAUUAAAUUUUUUAAAAAAGAAACAAACCUAAAUUCAGGUACGAGGCAAAAAGAUUGGGGAAAAAAAAGAAAGAAUAGGAAAGGAAAUGAACCUUGGGAGUCCAAAGCGUGUCGCUUGAAGCGACGCCGUUCCAAGCACGGGAUACAAGGAGAGUCAGUGCUACGCUGUGUGCUUUUAGGUUUUGAAGUAUCAUCAACAUUAUGUCUCUACCAAAAGCAUCCAGUGCGUCCUGCAAUAAUUCUUCAGUUUCUUCUUCUUUUAGUUUUUCUUUUCUUUCCUCUCGCUUUCUCUCCUUUAUCAGUUUCAUCUUCGUCUUCUUCUUCUUCAGUAAAACGACAUCAUUUUCCUGUUCUUCUCUUUUUCGCAGUUCCAUUCUGUGUGGUAGCAGCUAUUACUACAGAGCAAGCGAAUGAAAGGAAUGACCAGAAGCUGCGAAAAAUGAGGUAAUUGUAAUAACUCCGAAAAACAUCAAAAUAUAAAAAUAUGUUAAUGCUAAAGGACCUGUCUAUGGUACAGGUUCUGUAACAAACAUCUCCCGUCAUCCCACCAUCCGAUUUUCUAUUGUUUAGUUUCUCACUCCACAUCCAACCACAUCCAACGGCUGAUGCUGCAGUCUGUACCUUACAGAUUCUGUAAGCUAGUCGAGUCCAAUGCUAAAAUGCCCAUAUUUAAUUUUUUUAAAAUCAUUUACAGUAUGUAGAAAUAUACGACCGACAAAUUUAUUAUUUUUUAAAUAUAAUAAAUUUUACGUGGCUCAAACUCAUUCUCUCGUAGAUAUUAUUGAACUACAGGCCUACAAGUUAAAAAGUUAAUACUUUUUUACUUAUUAUUUUAUUCAAUUUUUUUAUCACUUGAUUUAUUAUUCAACUUUAUUAUGAAGAUUGAUAAUAAAGUUGAGAAUAUUUUUUAUUUACGAUAUUUUAACCUUUUUAGAGUAUGAUUAUGUAAAACGAGCGGUCGGGGGUGUUAUCGGUAUUAUAAAAGAAAUAAAUAUCUAUUUAAAAAAAAAAAGCGGUGGGAGGUCACGUGGUUUAGAUACUGUUCUGUAAUGAUGAUAGUUAAUACUGGUCCGAUAAUGCAUUCUUGCCACGAGCCCCAGAGCAAAGUCAUCCUUCAAUUGAAGGACGAAAAUCGGGCGUUUGGGCUCUGGCUCAAAUACGUGGCAAGAUGCUGAGUGAUUGCUUGGCAAAACAACAAGUUGAUGACUUGGUUGUUUAUUGUGAUAUUAGAGGUGGCAAAACCGAUGACAAAGUGGUUUUCGUGCCAUGUAAAAUUUAGAGUGAUUUAGAUAUUUAUUUAAUAAUUAUGUUAAAAUAUUAAAAUAUUUAUUUAAUAAUUAUGUUAAAAUAUUAAAAUUUUAAGUUUGAUAUGAAAAAUAACAAUUGACACAACGUAACUUAUUAAUUAAUAAUUGUGUCGCGAGAUACCUUAUAAUCUAUUUAAUUAACACUCAUUUAACAUGAUUUAUAUCAAUCAUUUUUGCUCCUAUUUAAUAAAAAUUUUACAAUUUUUAUAUAUCUAAAUAGUAUUAUAUAUUGAUAUCAUAAAAAAUAUACAUAUUUAUUGAUAUAUUACAUAUUUACACCAUUCAGGUUUUAAAAGCAUCUAGAAUUUUAUGAAAUGGAACACCACAUAAAUGUUUAUCCUUCGUAAGUAAUUGUUUCGUUAACUGAGUAGAUAGGUCAAGAAUAUAGGAUAACGAUUCUCUCUUGAUCUGAUCUCCUCCUGAGAAAAAAUACAUGUAGGUGAUUGGUAGUUAAUAAAUUAAAAAAUUAAAAAAUUAAAUUCUACCCAUACACUAUUACUUAAAGACAAAUGGAACAAGAUUUUUAAAAGCUCAUGAGAGCUCAGAUCAGGAGAGGAUCUUUAUCCCAAGAAUAUAAACCUAACUCGAGAAGCCAAAAAAUUGUGUUAAAAAGGGUACGGCCUAUUUAAUUAUCGUGUCAAAUUUAAUAAUCUAAAUCUACUUUUUUGUGUUGUGUUCAUGUUUGCUAAAUGGAUUGUAUCAAAUUUUGUUAGUACUAUUUAUAGUAUAUUAGAUAUUUAAAUAAGAUUUGCUUCUAAAACGAGAAUUAUAAAGUUCAGGUGUCUAUUACAUAUGUGUCAUGUAAGGCACCGUCCGACGCAAUGUAGCUGGACCCGUCAUGUAAAUAUAUUAAUCUUUCUAGCAUAUCUCUCUUCUCCCCCCUCUUACUUGUAUAAAAAGAAUUAAUGUCGUUAAUACCAACAGGUGAAUACAAAUGUGCCAAAAAAAAUUUCUUUAUUUUUUCAUAGAGAUAUAAUUUCAUUCCAACAAUAACAUAAUAGUAUAACAACUAGUCCAUAACAGACUUGGAGAUCAAUCUAUAGAUAAUCUGAUAGAAUAAAUAGUUGAACAAACUUUUUACUUUCAUAGUUCACACUAACGAAUAAUGAGAACACAAUGCAUCAGAGACUCUAUUAAAGAGCAUCUCUUAAUCAUGCAUCCAACAUGCUCAAGCUCUAUCGGGAACAUCUCCAAUACCAUGUCUAGAUCAAGUAGUAUGUAUAGUUUCAGGUUUAUGUGCUUUUUUUUUUUUUUUUUCGAUUCCACCCUAUGUGGUGGUUGUGUUCAUUUGGUUGUGUUUCGUGUUGCUGAUGUGUUCAUCUUUCAGAUUUUGUACUUGAAUGGGUAAGAUUUGGCAAAUAGGUGACCAUGAAUCAUUUUCUAAUGUGGAUUUGUUACAUUGCUGGUUGUAUUUUGAACCUAAAUUAAAUCUAUUUAAUUAGUCUUCUGGGAGUAAAUUUAUGAUUUACCUAGCAAGAACAAAAAUUCCUUAGCGACAUCUAAAUUGAUCGUGUACAUAUUAAAAGGAUGUGUAUAAAUCAUUACAUGAUACUUUAGUAUGCUGAUAUUUUUCCUAGCACGUCAGUAUGAGAAAUCAAUUAUUUGUUUAUCUGUUGACUGCAAUGAAUUUAUCUGUACAUUAGUGACACACACACACACAUAUAUAUGUAAUCAUUUUCAGGUGUGGAUGCCUUCAUUUGUUUUAAUGCGAACACGGUUUUAAGCUAUGCGGUUUUAUAACGUUAUGCACUAACUUUAUUGAACUACGCCCGUACUAAAGAAGGAUUAUAUAUAUGUGUAAUAUAUAUACGUAUACAUAAAGUUCAUGCAAACUAAGGUUUUUAUUUAAGCAAUUCACAUUUUAACAAUAAAUGCUCUUCACUCUUGUUUGCUGGUGUAAUUGGAUGGAUGGUUUUGCUUCAAUAUUCUCUGUCUCGCUCUUUCGUUUAUAGUUUUUACCAACUAAUUGAGAGGAAACAAAAACUGUUUGCCGAACGGCCGAACAUGUCCACCGUAUAUAUACUGGGAUCUGUGUAAGUUACAUAAGUAUUAACAACUGAUCGUGUUUUUAAUUACUUUUGUUUAUUAAUAACUUGUAAUGAGAAAUCUAAUUGCACUGAUAAUUUGAGUAAAUUUCAUAUAUUUUCUUUACAUUUUAAAAGUGAAAAACUAAUUUAACACUAUUGGACCAAAAAUAUUAUGGGUCCAACUAAAAUUCAAAUAAAUAUUGUCUAAACAAAGCCGAAGAUGAGUUCUUAGGAUCCAAAGAGAACACAUAUUUAAAAUAUGUGAUUCUUCCUGUUUUUUCGUUUGGUCGAGCUUUCUCAUUGGAAAGUUAUGCUAUAUCUUGAAAGUAUUUGGCAAACCCAGCAGUACUUCAUUCUUGAAGCACACAAGCAGGGGUCCUGUACCACCAACGUAUGAUUUACUCGUGACUAGUCAAGGGAAUAGUACAUGAGUGAGUGCCUGAAUUAUGAGCCUUGCCUUACAGAUAGACAAAUUAUAAUCAUGAGUUUUGUUCCUCAGGGUUUUGAAAUCUCAUUACCAAGGGUACAAGUGAUCAAACUUUUAACCCGUCAAAACAUUAACGUAUAAGUAUUAUACGUUCGCUUUUCAAGCUCAUGCAAGUUCCAGUAAUUUGGCACUACAUCAAUGGGCAGACUGAAAUCAAGAGGUGAGUCUCCACUCACCAGACUCUCUUAAUAAUGUAUAACAAGCACCAUACUAAAAUUAGAUACCUUAUUAAAAUGAAACUCCCAAACAUGAUCACAAAGGUCUUCUUUUGUGAUAUGAGUCUACUAGAAUCAUUAAUUGAUCAAAAUUGUAUAAAGGUUGUAUAAAGGUUUAAAAAAAAGAAAUAUCUCAUUAAUUGAUCAAAAUUACUAAGUUCAUCUAUUAGUCAAAAUUAGAAUGAUAAAAAAUCAUUAAAUAAUAAAUAUUCUUAAUUUAUCUGUUAUUGUUUAUAGUAGUUGUAGUACAUAUAUUAAUUAAAAUUUAUUAUGACCGUAAUUUUCAAUAUUUCACAAAUCCCCCUCUCUGUUUCUUUUCUUUUAUUGUGCGUUUUGGUUAUUUUUUAGGGAGAUAGGCCCCCUGAUGCGACUUACAAUUACAGGUGACAUGUCUAAUCUUGCUCACAAUUAGUAGAGACUAGAGAGUCUACGGUCAAAAUUCUUUUUUUUUUUUUAAAAAAAAAGAGUAAUUUGAUUUUUCAGCCACUUUCCUUUUUUGUUAUCAACUAGUCAUAACUCACAAGCGUGACAAUCACUAAAUUCAGGGUGUGUUUGGAAUUGAUGUUGGACAGAUAUAACUUAAAAGUUAUAACAGUAAAGUAUUUGGUAAACACUAUCUGUUGUAACCUGAAAGUUAUGUUAAUAUGAUUUUUCACUUAUAUAAUAGAGAAUCUAUUAUAUCUUCAAUAAUUUUGUCAAAAUUAUUAUUUAAAAUUAAUAUUUAUUACAUAUUAUUAAUUUUUGUUUCAUAGUUACAACUUUUUUUUCACAGCAAUUGUAGCUUAAAAGUUACAACACCUCAAUUCCAAACACACCCCGAAAGUGACUUCCUCACAGCCGGCAACUAUCCACUUGCCAUUAGUUGAAUGCGGGAGUGGAAUCGUGUCUUUUGAAAGUUAAAAUAAAGUUAGAAGGAAACAAAUUGUCAAUGUGGGUUCUUAGAUCAAUUUUAGGACAACCACAUGAUUUUGUUGAUGGAAUAAAUGUCAUUAACGUGUUUAUUUUUUAGAUUUAGAAAAAAUAUCAUGUGUUUAUUUUGGGAUUUAAAAAAAAAAGAAGAAUGAGAAUUAUUAAUAAUAUUUACUUGCUAAAAAUACAAAGAAAUAUAAAUAAAUUUUAAGUGAGUCUCAUAAAUUUAGGAAUGAGUAAGAAUUUCAUUUAGAUGGAAGAGGCGGGAAUAAGAAUGGAGAAAUGAGAAUAAAGAGUAAAAAUCGUUCAUCUUUAUUGAAAAUUACAACUUUCUUUUUACUCCAUUUUGGUAACUUACAAUCAUCUAUUCUAAUUUUAAAAUAAAGUAAACACAUCAAGUUUGGAAUACUGUUGAUUUUGAUCUCGGUUCUUGCAGUUGAAAUAAACAAUUUAUUCUUCUACAUUUUGAUUCCAAUUCAUUUUUAUUCCAAUUCAUUUUUAUUCUUGCCUAUUAGGAUUCAUAGUUAAUAAAUGCACUACUAAUAUAUUGUCAAAGAGACUCUAUUUUUUAGUUUCAUUCUAAUUCAUCUCAAAUCUCUCUCAUAUUGAAUACUUUGUUGAAAUUUAUUAAAGAUAUUUAAAAAAAAAUUUAUCGACAACUCUAGCUGCCAUCUAUAUAAAUAUAUUAAUUUUUUUUCUAAUUAGUGCUUCUUAAAAAGAAUCUACCUCAGCCAACCCAAUCAAUUUUUUCUCCCUCAGCCUUCCAUAGGAUUUGAAUUCGGGUAAUUAAUAAAGUAAAAUUACUUAAAAAUCACUCGGCUAAGUCUUUGAGGUAGUUUAAUCUUAGAUAAAUAUUAAGGACUUAUCAAUUAUCCUAUUAAAAUUAGUAUGUAUAAGCAUAUGGCUAAGGCAAACCAAAUCAAGUACAGUUGACGUUAUAUGUGAUAGAUUAAAUGAUUUAUAGAAGUGAGUCAUCUGUGAUAUAUAUCAUACAACCUAAUUCAUUUGAAUUUGUGAAUAUUGAAUUUGAAAGCAUAUAUUUUGGUAGUCUAUUUUAGAGUAAUUAAUUUUAAUUAAAAAUAACUGUUAUAGUAUUAUCUCAAAACGUCACCUAAAUUGUAAUUUUAAUUGAUAAAAUCUCACGACUAAGGUUAAGAGAUUUAGAGAUUUUACCUAAAAGUAUAAUGGUAGGUAUUGGCGUUUGCCUUGCCCGCUUUAUCAUGGUCCAAAAAUCGCCUUUUGGGCCAUGGAGCGGCUCAUGUGCUUGCUUUGCACAAUCUCUAGGAAUCCAAACUUGAUUUUGUUUUUGGUUUACACAUAUUUCCAUGGAAUUCGGCAGAGAGCAGAUGAUUAGGCUAAUUCGGAGUUGGAAUUCCUUUCUGUUCAGUAGUGGGACCAAACAGGGAGGGAGAACGGGCUGAGCUUGGACAAGCCCAGGCUCAAGUCUGAGCUCAUAAAAGCCCUUCCAAAUUUGGAGGGGCUGAACAGAAGUUGGCCCAUCAUGUGUUUGAGCUUCCUCAACCAUUUCAUUUAGAGAGUGCCUAAGUUACAUCUAUUGUAACUUAUUGCUUUUGUCUUAUUUCCUUUUGGCUAAUAUCAUAUAGAUCCUUUAAUUUUUUUCUAUUUCCAAUUUUUAUAGUUAUGGAUGCAUUUGUCUUCUUCCAUCUCUCAUACAUCUAUUUUUUAUUCUUUCUAGGAUUUUAUUUAUUUCCUUGAACAAUAACAAAUGAUUGUCAAAUUCAUAUAAGUCUACAAAUUCAUAAUAGACAUCUGGUUCUAAAUUUAUUAUUCCUAUCCUUUCUUGUUCUAAUAAAUCUAUUUUUUGGUUUAUUAAAUUUAUAUAUGUAUUUACUAUGUUUUCCCAUCCUAAAAACAAAUGAUCUAUACUACUUGCCAAUUCUUGUAUUGUAUUAACAGCUUGAUUCAUAGCGUUUCUAUUUUAUACCAAUAUAUUAAAAAUUUUAUAAAUUCAUCUAUAAAUUUUAUUUUCUUUUCUAUUAAAAUUUCACCACCUACUGUAUCUAUAAAUCUUUCUCUAAACUCCUGGGUUAGUUCAAGUUCUAUAUUUCUUAUAUUAUUUUUAUCAGUUUUAAUUGCUUUUAUUAAAUUUUUUAUAUCUUCUUUAUCAUAUACCUUUAAUGUAUGCAAACUGUCUACUAUAGUUCUUAUAGGAUCCAUGGAGUCCGUGGCUCUGAUACCAUUUCGUCGUUAUUAAAAUUUAAAUCAAAUAAUCAAAAUUUCAAAAUUACUAAAUUUACAAAAUUACAAAAUUAAUUCGUGCGUUAUUAAAAUUACAAAAUUAACUUACUAAUGCGAAGAAUGAUUCAUAUGAAUAAAUAAACACAUAUGAUCAACAAAUUAUUGUUCAUUCAGAAACAUAGAGAACAUAUAUUUUUAUGUAACUUAAAUAUUAAUAAUAGAAAAGUGCGUGGCGUUGUUACACCCCUAGGUACAGCUAUUAAAAUAGCACUUUGGACCAAUAGCCCGCAACCCAAAGAGGUUUCCAGCCUAUAUACUUUUCAUAUUUCUUAAGUUAUAUUUCAAAUUCUUCAUUAUCUGAAUUAUAGGUAUAUGAAGGUCCAGCUUCAUAAUCUUUAUGUUUCAAAUAUGCUUUUGCUAUAUCAAUUCCUUCAUCUAUUGUUGGCAUAAUUAUAUUAUGUUUUAGAUUGUCUAUUUCAAUGUUUUCUAUAAUUUUCCGUUUUAUUUCUUGAGGUAAAUUAAGUGAGUGUACUGCUAAUAAGUCUUCUAUUCUAACGAGUUCCUAUUUACUGAACAGAUAUGAACUCUAUUUAUAUGAUCCUAUAUUAAAAUCUAUUAUCAUCAUGUACUCAUUGUAUGUUAUUUUAGUGGUUGGAUUUAUUAUGUAUUCUUUAGAUUCUCCUAAAUAAAACUUGUGAUCCAUGUUAUAAACAAAAAGUUUGUUUCAGUUUGAAAGUUUUUCAGUUUAAAAGUUUUGCUCUUACUCCAUAAAUUAUCCCACCAACAACCAUCAACAAACUUCCACCAAGAGAUAAAAGUCGAGUAUUAUUACCUGAUUUAUCCUUUCUCCUUUACCUUCUGAUCUCCUUCCAGUAACCUGCAGCCUGUUUGUCCUGUGCCCUUACAGCGUCCUGCCUCAGCGGGAUCUGUGGACUCAGAUGGAUUUACUGUAUGGAUUUCGAUCGUCUUGAUAAAGAAGUGUUGGAUAAGUUUAGGUUUCUCUUCUUUUUCUUUGAUGGUUUUUGUUUUUGGUUGAUGAUGUUUUGAUUUAGGAUUUCGAGCAAGCAAGUGUUUAGUGAUCCAUCGUUAAUAAUUUCAGAGAAAAAAUGAAGGAUGUCUGAAAACGUCUGAGUGAGAGUGUGUGUUUCUCCUCAUUCUUUUUAUUUAUAUGAAAGAGAUUCUAUUACAUUAUUGGUCUAUGACCUCAUUGCUUACGUAUCUAUUACAUUAUUGGUUUUCAGCUUACAUCAUUAUUUCAUAUUUUAUUAUUACAAUUCUUGACUUCUUGUCUUCUUCUUUUCUUUUAGCAUUUUAGUUGUCUGCCACGAGCAUCUUCUUUUUAUCUUGUCUGCUACGAGCAUCUUCUUUUUAUCUUGUCUGCCAUGAGCUGCUUUUAUUUGUCGAGCAUCUUUAUUUCCAUAAGCUGACAAGCUUGCUGUAUGGUUUCAUGGCUACUAGGGAAUCUCAUGGUGCUGAUUUCAUUGAUGAGAUCUAAAAGAAUAUUUGAAGGUGUAUGGCUAUCCUCUGAGGUUACAAGGAUAUAAUUCUGAAAUCGGAUAAUUGUUCUAUAGUUUCUUUUAUAAAGGUCUUUGGCAAUACUCCAUAUCGCCUUUAUUCCCCGGGCUCUGCGGGUUCUGAUCCAUGAUUUGGUUAUUUGAGGAAUAUUUGUAUAUUCAGUUCCUACUUCUAUUUGGAAAUUUUUUGUAAGGUGCCCCACAGAGAUCAUGUAAAACGCUUGAUAUUCAACAUUUUGGUGGUAUUUUGGGCUAAUAGUGUAAAAUUUUAGGUAUAUAGGCCUUUUUUGGGCAAAUUUUGAAACUUCUUUGACUAAUAAUUCAUCUAAACUGACUAUUUCUCUUAAAUCUGUAUCUGGAUAUACUAACCCAUACUGUGCUAUUCUUCCAAUGAGGAGAGGAUCUGCUCCUUUUAUAGCUAUCAUCCUGGGGUAUAUAUUUUUUUCAGGUGCCUUGAAAAUGGUAUUAUUGUGGGAACAUGUAGAGUACACCCAUGUGGAAAACUAUUUAUAUUCUUCUUCUUUUGGAUUUAGGGUAAUAAGUUUUUUUUCUUCUUCUGAGGAAGUGCUGUUUAUUCUGAUGAACUUUUUUGUAGAAGUCUUUUUAGGAGAUUCGACUUCAAUGGACAAGGUUCAGUUGAAGGAUGGGUCACAGACUGGUUCUUGUUGUGGGAGAGGUCCACUACUGCUUCCUAUUUUUAUUGGGUUAGUAUUUAUUGAAAGCCCUUUUGUUAAGUCGUUUAUGUAUGACUCUAACAAAUGUAUUCCCUUCUCAUGAGCCUCUGUGGCUUCUUUCAUGUAAUUUAUAGUAUCUAGCAUGUCUGAUGCUUCUGCUUUGAGCCUUUGUAUUUCUGUGUUUAUCACAGAUAUGGUUUUAUUUACUUCUGUAUUCAGUCUCCGAAUUCUAUGUUCCUGCUUCGAAAAUCUGCAAGAAAAUUAUUAGUUCCUUUUAAAAUUAUAAUAUGACAAAUACGCUUGCCAUCUAUGUAAUCUCUUGUAGUGAGGUUCAUUUGGCAAAAUUUUACUAAUAAGCCAAUUUACCUAAGAAUUGUCUGUUUCUAUAAUAAAUUAUUUCUAGAGUAAAAAUAAUGAGAACUUUUUUAUUCCUUUGUAUAUUGCAAGGAGUUCUUUUUCAUGACCUUGGUAAUUGACUUGUACUGGGUUAAAUGUUCCACUAGUAUAUCGGCAAAUUUCAUUUAUAUCAGUUUUAAGUACUGCUCCCCAAUGUAAAUCAGAUGCAUCAGUUUGUACUACUAACUUAUCAUUUUCUUCUGGUAACCUUAAUGAUGGGAGGUUUUUACAUUCUUCUUUUAGGCAGUGUUUACUUUCUGGAGUGGGAGUGUGGAGUGUGGAUUCCUCACACUCCAGUGUUUACUUACCUUAAAAAAGGGGGGAGUGGGAGUGGGAAUCCGUGGGUCCCACCCAAAUUUGGAGUGGGGAGUGGGAUUCCCACUCCCAUUGGGGGAGGUGGGAGUGGGAAUCCACUCCCCCCUCUUCCCAUUUUAUCCUUAUAAAAUUAAAAUAAAUAAAUAAUAUUUAAUAAAAUAAAUAAUAUUUCAUAAAAUAAAUAAUAUCAUAUUUAUUAAAAAUAAUAAUUAUAUCAUAUUUAUUUUAUUAAAUUUAAUAAAAUAAAAAUAAAUUUAUAAAUAUAAUAAAAUAUUUAUUUUAUUUUCCAAAUAUAUUUUUUAUUAAUUUUUUAAUUACAAAUUAUAAUUCUGUACAUAAGGAUAAAAUUGUAAUUUAAAACAAUUUACUCCUAAUCUAAGACAAAGUAAACAAAUAAUUGGGAUUCUAAUUGACAAUCCAUACUUUCAUUUAAUCUAAGUAAACACCAUACUCUCACUCCCACUCCACACUCCUAAUCCAAGGAUUCCCACUCCUCAGGAUUCUCACUCCAAUCCAAAAAGUAAACGCAGCAUUACAUUCUUUACAGUUUCCAUAUGUUCUUCACUCCAUCCUUUAGUAUUAUUUUUUCUGAGUAAUUUUUGAAGUAUAUUUCUCUUUUUUGCUAAGUCUUUUAUAAAUCCUUCUGCAUAAUUUAAACAACCUAAAAAUUUUUGUAUUUGUUGUUUAUUUUCCAAUUUAUCUGGGAAUUCUGUAAUCUUUUUUUCUAUAUGGCUCUAGAGUCUAAUUCCUUUUUUGUCAAGAACCAUUUCUAAAAAUUCUAUCUUCUUGUGUUCUACGACUGCUUUUCUUUCUGACAAAACUAUACCUUCUCUGAUACAUAUAUUAACAAAUUCUCUUAAAUGGUUUCUAUGGUCUUCUAAUGUUUCUGAUGCUAUUAAUAUGUCAUUAACAUAGACUAUGAUAUAUUUAUAAUCUCUAAAUAUUUUAUCCAUUCGACUUUGAAAGAUUUGAGGGGCAUUUUUUAGUCUAAAGGGCAUUACUAUCCAUUCAUAAUGUCCUUGUGGGGUGCUAAAGGCUGUAUAAGGAAUACUGUGUUCUUCCAUUUUUAUUUGCUAAAAUCCUGAUUUACAAUCAAAUUUUGAGUAGUAUGUUUUAUUUUUUACAAGAUUUAUUAAUACUUCUUUAUUUGGAAGAAAAUAUUCAUCAAACUUCGUAUAUUUAUUUAAUUCCUUAUAAUUUAUAACCAUUCUUGGUUUUCCUCUUACUUGUUUUGAUCUUUUCCUAACCAUAAAGGCUGGGCUAUUAUGAAGGCUAUUACUAGUUCUUAUUAGUUUUAAAUUUAAUAACUCUUUUAUUUGGAUCUUAAACUCUUCUCUAUCUUCUUCUGUAUACAUCAUAGAUUUAAGCCUUAUUAUUCUAUUUCAAUUAAUUCUAUUUUUGUUCUAGGAUGGUCUGGUUUCCAUAAUGCUAAUCAGUUAUCUUUAUAGACUUGUUCAAGCUGUGAUUUUAUUGUUUCUAGUUGUAUAUUAUAACUAUGUCCUUUCAAGAUUAAAUAAUUUUUUCAUAAAUAAUAUUAUCACCAUGCUGGGCUGGCUGAACUCGGUAGGGUUUAAAUUCACGAGGGAUGUGAAGGACAUGAUUACAAGGGGUUUUUAAGGUGAUCAUAUAAGGAGUUUGUUGAUAGUACUGGAAUUGUUGUAGGAAGGCAUUUCCUAGGAGGAUAUCACAAUCCAUAUGGUCAUAUUGAAAUAUUUAAUUAAUACGUACUAUUUUACUUCCUAAAUGUAUUUCAAAAUUUAUCAAAGAUUGAUUUACUUGUUGUUUAUCUCUUGUUAUUCUAAUGAUUUUUAACUUUCUAUUAGGUUUCCAUUGGUUUGAUAAAAAGGGUUUCAUAAUUAUUAUUUCACUACUAGUGUCUAUUAAGGCACAUGUAUCUAUAUCUUUUUCUGUUAUGUUUAUUUGUGUAUAAACGGACAUAGGGUAUUUUAUAUAAGCUUGUUUUAACAUGUUUCACACACUGUUCUUUGACCUUCUAUUUGUAAGGUUAUUUUAUGUUUUUCAAUUUUAUAGUAUUCUAAAUCAUUUAAAAAACUAUUUCCUAGCACUAUAUGUUUUUCUGGGUCUGUGGUCAUGAAUAAGUCUAUAUAACAAGAUACUAUUAUUCUAAAUCCUUCUGUAAUUAUAGGGACUUUAACUUCUUGUUUACAAAUAUGUUUAUUACCUUAAAAUCAGUGUAUUCAUAUGGAAUUUCUUUUUCUUUUAUUAAGAGUCCUUUUAUUUUUAGUGUGGUUCAUAUAAUUAUGGCUCGUUCCAGUGUCUACUAGUAUAUGUAUUUUUGUCGUAUAUUAUAUUCCAUUAAAGUAUUGUCCAAGUAUUUUUACUACAUUAUUAGUUGUUAUUGAUCUAGUUAUUUGUUUAUCCAUACUAGUUAUUUAUUUAUCAGUGCUUAAUCUUCUAGAUGAACUUCCUCUUACUAAAGUCCUUCCUGCAAAACUUAUAGGAAUGAUGGAGUUUUCAUUAUUAUCAUUUAAAAAUUACUUUCUAUCAUCUAUGUUCAGUUCAUAAUUUAUAGGAAUUUUGUAGUCUUGGAUUGUGGGUUCUAUAAGGGUUGCUAUCUCUUCACUUUCUUUAUUUAUUUCUAUAUAAGGUUUAUUUCCAUAUAUUUCUCCAUAGUUCGAAUUACAAAAACUAUAUAAUGCAGAAUAAUGUAUUGUCAUUAAUCUAUUUCCUUCUUUCAUUAAGUUCUUUUUUAGUAGUUUAAAGUGUAAGCUUAGCGUCUCAUCUAUAUUUUUAUCUUUUAUGUGUACACAAUAUCUAGGAUGACAUGUAAAUAAUAGUUUAGUGUAACAUAAAUUUCCUUCUAUUGUUCCUAAAUGUCCUAUACUGGGAUCAUGAAACCUUUUAUCAUGUAGUGAUAAGACUAUAGGACUAUCUAUUCCUUCUUUGAAAAAGGAUUUUACUAAUAUUUGAAUUUAUGCUAGAUAUACAUAUUGAAUUUUUUCUUUUGUUGAUUCAUUUUUUAUUUUUCUUAAUGCUAAAUCUAUAGAUCUUUUAUUUAUUAAACUAAAUCUAAUAUUUCUUUCAGCUUGUGUAAUUGUUACAGCCUUUUCUUGUUCAUAAUAUUCAUGUAAUAUUAUCCGUUUUCUUUUGAAUAUAUCUCUAAGUCUAUGUAAUAUCCCAUAUUUCGGUUUUUCCAUAUUUAUUUUCAAAAGUUUAUUAUAUUUUUCUUUAUUAAAAGUGGCAACAAGACUAUAUCCACUUUUAUUUUCUUCUUUUUCUAUUUCUUCAAUUUCUUCUAUCUCUUCUUUCUCUAUUAUUUCCUUUUUAUUCUGACUCAUAUUCUGAUCCUUUUUCCACAUAAACUUCUUUUCCUUCAUAAUCUAAUAUAUCACUUAUUUCUUCUAAGUCAUUUCUUAUGUUUUCAAAAUCUUCUCUUAAGAGUCUAACCUUCUUUUUUGUACAAUCUGUGCUAAUCUGUCAUAUUUCUCCACAAUUCCAACAUUUACACUUGGAUUUAUCUAAUUUGUUUCUUUGAUUUUUAUACUUUCUUUUAUAAUACUUUCUUUUAUAAUACUUUCUUUCUGGUUUCUUGUAUUUUCUUUUAAAGUUAUUGUAUUUUUUAUAUUUUUUCUCUUUUUUAUAUAACUUUCUCUUUCGUUUAUAAGGUGUAUAACAACCCCAUUGGGUUGGCAUUUCUGUCUUUUCACAACAUAUUUCUCCUAUAUUUUUACUCUUUUUCAUUAGAUUUCUUUGAAUGCAUAUUUCACUUAAUCUUAUAUUUAAAAAUCUUAUUCUAGAUCCUAAAGUAUCUGGAAGUUUAUUAGUAACACUAUAUUUCUUAUAUUUAUUAAUAAAUAUCCAUUCAAGGGAUAUGGUAACUUGGAAUAAUAUAAAUUUUUAUAGAUACUUUGGUCUUCUUGACUGUAGAAUUGUUCAUAAUAAUAUUUAUUAAAUUCACAAGUAUAUUCUUUUACAAAACACAUGUUACAAAUAGUUAAAUUCAUUAAUUUCAUUCUUGCAUUUAAUUUUUCAUUUCUUGUUUCUAUUUCAGUAUUUUGUAUCCAAUCUUCACCUAAAAAUUCACUAGCGAUAUAUUCAAUUAAUCUUUCAAUUCCUAACCCUUUAUCUCUAGCUAAAGCUGUUUUAGUUGAAUCUUUUAUCAAUUUUUGUGUAUCUCCGCUUAGUCCUUUCCACCAGUUGAAUACAUUUCCUGAAAAACUGGCUAUUAGGAUGUCAGCGAAUAAAUUUAUCUUUUCUGCUUCAGAUUCUACAUUCGAAUCAUCCUUAGAACCAUUGUAUAUAAAAAAUAACUUCAUUUGCAUUCCCUAUUCAAUUAUAGCUUUUCGAGGUUCUAUUUUGCAAUCUAAAUCUAAAAAUGUUCCUGCAUUGCUUAUUGGCGUUAAUUUAUCAUUAUUAGGCUUAUAUUCUUUUUUCCAAGGGGUAUUUUUAACGGGUGGUACAUAUUUAAAAAAGGGUCUAUUUUUCUUUUUGUUCGUUGUAUACCUAUGACUUGGUUCUCUUAUAUUAGGCUUCAUUUCUGGUCCUCCAGCAGUAUUCAUUUUUAUGUGAUAUUCUUUUUCAAAAUCUUCUAAGUCACUAAGGUUUAUCUCACUAAAAUUUUCAGUUAAUUCUUCUAAUGUAUCUUCCAUUAGUCUGAAUCACUUGGAGUUGUUUCUUUUAUCUCUAAUUUUUCUUUUCCUUUUUCUUUUUUCUUUAAUUCUGCCUUUAAUUCUUCUGUUUCUUUUAAUAUUUUUGGAUAUUGAGUUUCCAUAAACCAAGUAUCAUAGUUGCCUGUUUGUGGUUUUUGUAUGGGUUUCUUAAAACUUGUUCCAAUUAUUCCUGAUUUUAGUAUUUCAAAUUUUUCUAAUUUUUUAUUUUUCUUUUGACUCAUCUGAAUUAUAGACAUUUCUAUUUUUAUUUUUCCUAUUUCUUGUUUUAUAUCUUUUAUUUCUUCUUUGAGAUUUAAAAGUAUUUCUUUUAAUUCUAUUAAUGUAGUUUCCAUAAAGUCUAAGGGUGUCUAUAGAUAUUUUAAUUUCUUGAUUGUAUGUUACGUUACACGUAACUUAGUUUUGGCCUUUCAUUUAUUAGUUUUUAAUGUUUGCAAUAAUUCCUUCAAAUUAACGUCCCCCCUUUUGGUCUUUUUCCGUCUUAACUCAACUCAUUUGGUGAUGUGUCAUUAGCUCUAUUGAAUGGUAAAAUUUUAUUUACUUAUAUAAGUCCUUAUGUUCUUAUCCUAUUAGUAUAACCUUUGAGUCUCAAUUAUUAUUGGACUCAAUUUGCCUUCCAAUUAAACUGGAUAAGAGUAAAUUUUGAAAUACAAGUGUGCAACCCAAGAGGAGGGGGGGAGUGAAUUGGGAUUUUAAAAAUUAUUUGAUUCUAAAACAAAUUAUCAUGCAAAUCUAAAAUGAAUUUAAUGGAAUAAAAAUUAAAUCAAUUAUAAUAUAAAAAGAUAAGGGAAGAGAGAUUCAAACACGAAGAUUUUUAUGUGGUUCAGCCAACAUCACCUACGUCUACGCCUCCAAGUUUUCCGGGCUUGAGGAUUUCACUAAGCAAACCUCAAAGGCUUCAAAUGCUUACACUUGACUUCCAAGGUGUCAAUGAACCUUUACAACAAGAGAUUAUCUCCAAUUUCUUAACUUAAGUGUAUUCCAACACUUACAAUCACUCAAAGUAAAAGAUUAAAAAUUAUUUUUCUCUCACACAAUAUUUAAUAUUACAAAUCAAUGCCCAAUGUGUGAAUAAAUGAAGCAAGAAUGUGUUUUAAAGCUCUAUGAAGAUUGUAUUCUCGAAUAUAAGCUCAAUGGUCGUGUUGUGAUCAAUCUUGUUUGAAUUUGAAUGAGCUUAUUUAUAGUUGGAGCUGAAAAACUAGCCGUUAUAGACUGUCUGCUCGUAAACGGUUGCCUUCUCAGCAUUUUGUGUUUUUCGUUUCUGUUAACCAGUUAGAGCUUAAGCAAUUCGUUACUCUCUUGAUUUAAUCGGUUAGCCGUUAAAAAUAAACGGUUCACCGUUUAUUUACAGAAUCAUAGUUUUAGCCAGAUAUUGCAGAGAAUCAUUUUUUAAUUUCAACUUUAACAAUUACCCAACUUUUAUAAAUAUAAUUGAAAUGAUUAUAAGGCUUUCGUUUAUUAAUGAAUAGGUCCAACAUUUUAAUAAAAAAUAUUUAAAGUUUGUUAUCGUCAAAAUCAAUAUUAUUAACAUAUACAUGUUAACAUUCUCCCUCUUUUUAAUGAUGACAAAUUUCAUUCAAUAUUUUGCUCUCCCUUAAUAUAUGCUCCCCCUAAAUGUAUGGCCAAUUGUAAAAAAAUAUCCAAUAAACAGAUUUUUGCUCAAGGAAACGUUUUGAAAAAGAAUUCAUUUCAAAAAGCGUUUUAAAAGUAAAAUGCAUUUUAAAAGUGAAUUUUAUUUUUAUUUCAUUAUCUCCCCCUUUAUCAAUAUACACAAAAUGCAGGAGCAUAACAUGAUCUCUCCACCUUCAUCAUCAAAAAGAAAAGAGGGAAAAGAAAUCUGUAAAGUAUAGAGGUGAGAAAGAAGUUACCCAACUUUGGCGAGCAAAAAAAAAUUGGCAGAGUUUCCCCUUAAAAUGGAACAAAUCCACUAAUACAAAAUGAGAUUAAAAACACUUCCAAAUAUAUUAACAAUAACUUCAUCAUCCAAUAGACCAACAAAUCCAUCAUCUAAUAUCAAAUCAGCCAACAUCAAAUCAUCCAACAUCAAGAACAUCACAAAAACAAUCCAUCAUCAAAAUCAUAGAGAAGUAGCAAUGUAUACCCAAAUAUAAAUAGCAACAAACAAACAAACAAAACAUGAAAUGUAUGUGCAAAGAUGAGACUCAGAAACUAUGAAGGUGGUGAAGAUGUGCUCCCUGGAUCAUAACCGAAAUAACGAAGAAGAGUGCGCUGUCCAGCUAUAAGUUCAAGCUGCUGAUCAAUGCUCUGCUGCUGGAAGGUCUGAAACUCCGAACGAAGCUGCUGAUGGUCGUGGGAGAAGGUGUCCCAUCUAUCGAUAAUCAGCUGCUGCCUCUCCGAAAUCCGGCGAACAUCAUCCGCCAACUGUUGCAAGGAGGCCGAAGCAGGGGGCUGAACUGAAGCAGGAGGCUACUCGGGAGCUGGAAAUGGCUCAAAAACGGAGGGCCUCUUAGGAACAACAGAGGGCUCGGGAGCAGAAGGCUGUGCUGGAGCUGGAGCUUGAGGUGGCAUCGAAGUGGAUGGAAUAUCAGCAUCCAUCUCACGCUCCUCAGAGUCAGAGUCAGCUAGAGGUUGGAGGACAGAACGGCGACGUAGAGGAGGUGGAUGAGCUCCUAAUCGAAAAUCUGGAAGUUGAUAAGAAGGAUAGAUAUCGUUGAGCAUCCGAUCGUCCUCAGGAGCAAUCAAAGUAUCCCGAUUUUUGGAGUUUUUAGUCUUUAUCCACUUGCCAUUCUUCUAGAAAAAUCGAUACUAGUCAUGUCCUCUGGACCAAUCCGUCUAGUCUCCGUAUAACCGGCAUCUAGAAGAGGCACCUCAAAGCGUCGCAGUAUCUUAGUAAUGAUACUGCCAUAUGGAAGCAAGCGGUGGUUAAUCGCGGGAGUACUCAACAUGUGCCUCACAAUAACAUAGCCGAGGUUAACGAGUCGUCCUGAAAUGAGGCUAUCUAAUAAGCCAACGUCUAACCUCGUAACCUUAUUCGAGUGACCCUUCCUAGGUGUCACUAUAUGCUGUAAAAUUGUGUAAAGUAUGCGAACUUGCAGAGGUAAAAGUUGAGAUUUAAAAGGUAAGUGACAAGUCUCAUAACUCAGAUCUUCACGCUGACAAAUAUUACGAACUCCAUCAUUAUGACAAAAACCAUCAAAGGAAAGAGCUUUCUUAGAUGUACAAAUUUUAUGACCAUCACUAGAUAUACCUAGAAAGCCAUUAAGAUCUUCAUCAUCAAAUUCAAUAUGAACACCGCCAACUUGAGUAACUAUCCUAUCUAGGCGAGUUGCAGAGAUUUCUAUGUUCGAAUAGAAAACUCGCACUUAAUUUGGAUAUACUCGUUCAUCAAAAUCAAUGGCGGACUCCCAAGGUUGAAGUAUAUUUCUAACACUUUUACCACACACAAUUAAGGUUCUAAAGUCUUCUAUGUCAACAUAAAACGAAUCAAGUACCUUUCUGCCAUUGAAGCGGUCCUCGAAACGCUUGGCCAAUGAAGGUGUGGGAAAAUAAAUUCUUGCGAAUUCAGAGACUGCCUGUGGUGGUAUGGGAUUCUGUUGAGGCGUAUCUUUCCUCCUUCGAGUUCUCCGAGAUGACUCAGCCAUGGUAAAGAACAUAGAGAAUGAGGGAUUUUGAGAACAGUGACUUUGGACGAAAAAUAACUGCUGUACCGUACAUCCGCCUUGGCCGUACAGCAGAAUUGAAAUGAUUAUAAGGCUUUCGUUUAUUAAAAGAUUUGAAUCGGUAAAAAUGAUAUAAAGAUGAUGUGAAAAGAUGUUUUAGGUGUGAUUUGGCAAGGAAAUCAAGAAAAAUGGAGGUUUGACGAUAGAGAAAGCUUCGGCUGCGCAACAAUGGCUGAAACAAUAAGAGGGCAAAUGAGAAGAGAGAGGAAACCCUUGGAACAGUUUUUAUGUCGCAAGAAAAUGGUUAACCGUUUAUUUAAACAGUUAGAGAGUAACUUUCCAGAGACUAAUGAAUGGGAAACGGUGAAAGGUUAUCCUUUUAACGGUAAAGGAGUAAUUUUCCAGAGAGCUCUCUGCUUUAAACGGUUUAUCGAUUUCGUCAAACAGUAAAAGGGUAAAAGUCAGACAUCAUGAUCUAGUUUCUGGAAUAAAAAUAGUACACCGUUUAUUGGAAACAGUUAUCCGUUUAUUUCAUCUAUAAUUGCGCACAUUUGAUUUAAUUUUUGGCUUACAAAUAAUACAUUCCAAGAUCAUUUAAUUGAUCCAAAAAUGUUUUAUGAGCCAUUUUGAUUCAUGAACAUGUAUUCAAGCAAUUAAUUCAUAUAAACAUUUAAGAAUUAUCAAAAGCAAACAUAUCACUUGAACAUCAUGCUUAAGCAUUUCAUAAAUAUUAAAUGAUCAAAUUAUCACUAAGUCAAUCAAUUCAAUACACUAAAUAACAUUAAUAGAGAAGUUAAUGCAAAAAUUUCAUCUUCCCAAGUUCAUGCCGAAUUUUCAAAAAUUAUUCUUCGCCAAGGGGUUUGGUAAAAAUAUCGACGAGUUAUUUUUCUGUAAAAAUAAAAUCUAAUGCAAUAUCUCCCUUUUGAACAGGAUCUCUUAAGAAAUGAUGUCUUAUUUCUAUAUGCUUGGUUCGAGAGUGUUAAAUGGGAUUUUUUGAAAGAUUUAUAGUACUAGUAUUAUCACACUUAGUAGGAAUUUGUUCUAGGUUAAUACCAUAGUCUCUAAGUGUUUGUUUCAUCCAAAGAGCUUGCGCACAACAACUUCCUGCAGCUAUAUAUUCAGCAUCGGUAGUUGAAAGUGCAACAUAAUUUUGUUUCUUGCUAAACCAUGAAACAAGUGAGUGACCUAGAAUAUAGCAAGUUCCACUAGUGCUUUUCCUAUCAACUUUAUAACCGGCAAAGUCCGCAUCUGAAUAGCAUAUUAAAUCUAUAUGAGUUCCCCUAGGAUACCAAAGGCCGAGAUCUAUAAUUCCACUUAAAUAGCGAAGGAUUCGUUUUACAGCAAGUAAAUGGGAUUCCUUGGGGCAUGAUUGAAAUCUUGCACACAAACAUACACUAAAUAUGAUAUCGGGUCUACUUGCAGUUAAAUAAAGUAAAGAUCUGAUCAUACCUCGAUACAUUUUGAUAUCCACUUCUUUGCCUUUUUCAUCUUUAUCAAGCUUGGUUGUUGUGCUCAUCAGAGUAUUUUUGGUCUUUGAGUCAUCAAUUCUGAAUCUUUUGAGUAGAUCUUUUACAUACUUGGCUUGAUUUAUGAAAAUUCAUUCCUCAUUUUGUUUUAUUUGCAGCCCAAGGAAGUAUUUCAACUCUCCCAUCAUACUUAUUUCAAAUUCAUUACUCAUGCAAGAUGAAAAUUCUUUACACAACAAUUCAUUAGUAUAACCAAAAAUAAUAUCAUCAACAUAAAUUUGAACAACAAAUAUGUCUUUGUUCUUAUGUUUGACAAAGGGAGUAGUAUCCACUUUACCCAUUAAAAAAUUAUUUUCUAACAAGAAAUUCUUAAGCCUAUCAUACCAUGCUCUAGGUGCUUGUUUUAAGCCAUACAAAUCUUUAAAUAACUUAUAAACAUGAUUUAGAAAUUUUUCAUUUUCAAAACCAAGGGAUUGUUUUACAUACACUUCUUUCAUAAUAUAACCAUUUAAGAAAGUACUUUUCGCAUCCAUUUGAAAUAAAAUGAAAUCUUUAUGACAUGCAAAUGCCAAUAACAUUUUAAUUGAUUCUAGUUUAACUACGAGUGCAAAUGUUUCAUCAAAAUCAAUUCUUUCUUCUUGGUUGUAACCUUGAGUCACUAAUCUAGCUUUAUUCCUUACAACCACACCAGAUUCAUCCAUCUUAUUUCUAAAUACCCAUUUAGUACCUAUGACGGAUUGAUGUUCCGGUUUAGGAACUAAUUCCUAUACAUUAUUUUUUUCAAAUUGAUUUAAUUCCUCUUGCAUUGCCAUAAUCCAAGAUUGAUCAUUUUCCGCAUCCGCAAAUGAUUUGGGUUCAAUUUGAGAAAUAAAUGCAUUAUGCUCACAAGUAUUCUUAAUUGAUGAUCUAGUUGUAACACCUCGUGAGGGAUCUCCUAAAAUUACAUCUUUAGAGCGAGAAGAAACAUACCUCCACUAUUUGGGGAGUGAUUAAGAAGUACCUUCAUUUUGCUCUACAUUCAUUUCUUCAUGUUGCUCAUCUUGAUUCCUAUGAGAUGCAUUCUUUUGGUUAUCUUUUGAUGAUUCUUUUUGUAAGUCUUCAUCUACAUCAUUAUCAACAACAACUUUCUCCGUAGAGGAAGGGUUAGAUUCAUCAAAUGUAACAUGCAUCGAUUCUUCUACAACUAGAGUUCUUUUGUUAUAAACUCUAUAAGUUUUGCUUGAGUUUGAAUAUCCAAGAAAAAUACCCACAUCGGAUUUUAGAUCAAAUUUGCCAAGAUUAUCUUUUGUGUUCAAAAUAAAACAUUUGCAUCCAAAAGCUUUGAAAUAACCACUAUUGGGUUUUCUAUUUUUUCAAAGCUCAUAUGGCGUUUUGUUAAGGUUAGGUUUAAUCAACACACGAUUUAAAACAUAACAAGCAGUGUUAACGGCCUUGGCCCAAAAAUACUUAGGCAAUGAAUUUUCAUUCAAUAUAGUCCUAGCCAUUUCUUGAAUAGAUCUAUUCUUUCUCUCAACAACUCCAUUUUGUUGUGGAGUUCUAGGUGAUGAAAAUUGAUGCUCAAUACCAAAAUCAUUACAAAAAAUCUCAAAUGCAUGAUUUUUAAACUCUCCUCAAUGAUCACUCCUAAUGCAUGCAAUACCAUACCAUUUUGAAUUUUGAAUUUUGAAUUUUCUUACAAAGCACUUUAAAGGCAUCAAUAGCAUCAUCCUUAUUAGCUAAGAAUAAUACCCAUGUAUAUCUAGAAUAAUCAUCCACUAUCACAAAUGCAUAAGAUUUGCUAUUUAGACUAGCAUAUCUAGAGGGCCCAAAUAAAUCUAUGUGAAGAAGUUGAAGUGGUUUUGAGUAGAAAUAUGAUUUUUAUUUUUGAAAGAUGUUUUGAUUUGUUUUCCAAAUUGACAAGCUUCACAAAUCUUCGCUUUUUGAAAACCAAUUUUUGGAAGACCUUUAACUAAAUCAUUUUUCGAAAUUUUUGAAAUCAAAUCCAUAUUUGCAUGUCCUAACCUUCUAUUCCAUAACCAACUAUCAUCAUGCAAUGCCGAAAAGCAUUUAUCAAGAGUAGAUGCACAUUCUAUGUCAAUGAUAUAAACAUUACCAUAUCUAUUCCCAAUAAAUAAGAUCUUGUCAUCACAUAAAUUCUCAAUAACACAACUAAAUUUAUCAAAGAUAACUUUAUAACCUUCGUCACAUAAUUGACUAAUACUAAUUAAGUUGUGUUUCAAGUUCUCAACCAAACAUACAUUCUCAAUUAGAGUUGAGGAAACUUUACCAACAUUUCCAAUUCGAAGACUUUUUCCUUUUGAGUUGUCUCUAAAAGAUACGUCUCUAUCAUUUUUAAUUUUGGUGAAGCUUGAGAACCAUGCAUAGUUUCUGGUCAUGUGCCUUGAACAACCACUGUCCAAGUACCAUUUAUUUUUCUUCUUCUUCAAGCCCUACAAGGAAAAUCUCAAGUUUUAGGUAUCCAAAGCUUUUUGGGUCCUUGAGAGUUAGUAGUGAUUCCUUUUGGAACCCAAAUGCAUUUCAUACUAUAACAUACAUUUCUUUUUACUGGACAUCUAUUUUUUAUAUGACCAUCUUAAUUACAAAAAUGACAUACAAUUUGUUUGUUACUAGAUAUACUCUUCACAAAGUAGUUUUUAUAAUAUUUUUGUUUCAAGUUUGGCUUAUAACCAAUACCUCCUUUGUCAAACACACAUUUUUGUGAAUUAAGCAUGUUAUCCAACAUCUUUUGCCCAUUUGUAAAUUUCAAAACAAUCUCAUUCAACUCAUUGCUAUUUUUCUUAAGCAUUUCAUUUUCAUUUUUCAAAUCAUCUAUGUGUGAUUCUAAAUGCUGAUGCUAGGUUUCUCAUUUGAUAAAUGCAAUUUCAUCAUGCAAUGUUUUGUUCUCUACUUCUAGGCAUAUAAUUCUUGCAUUUAGAGAUUCAUUUUCAUUUUUAAGCUUUGUCAUUUCCUUUUUAAGACAUACAUUCUUUUUACCAAUUUUCAUCAACUCAUUAUGCAAUUCUUUAAAAGCAUCAUACAAUUCAUCAUAGGUGGGAUCACUUACCUCAUUGAGAUCAUCACCAUCUCCUAUUGCCAUAAGCACUAGGUUUGAUAUUUCUUGUGACCCUUCUUCAUCACUUGAAUCUUCCUCGCUAUCAUCCCAAGUUGCAACCAUGGCUUUCUUCUUAAGUUUGUUGAUAAGUGGGCACUCCGAUCUUAUAUGGCUAGGCUUCUUGCAUUCAUUGCAUGUGAUUACCUCUUUCUUCUCCCUUUGGUUCUUGAAGUUUCUGAAUUUUCUUUGCUCUCCGGUUUUCUUGAAGAAUUUUCUGAACCUCCUUGCUAGCAUGGCCAACUCUUUAUCAUCCGGUUCACUCUCCCCAUCACUCUCAUAUUUUGAAGCUUUGAGAGCAAUGCUUUUCUUCUUCUCCUCAUGCCCUUUUUCUGUUGCCAAAUCUUCUUUAUAUGAAAUUAGAGAACCAAUUAAAUCAUCAAGAGGUAAAGUAUUUAAAUCUUUGGCCUCUUCAAUAGCAGUUCUUUUAGGUCUCCAUUCUUUUAGAAGUGACCUAAUAAUUUUCUUAACUUUCUCACUAUUUGAGAAGGUCUUCCCCAAGGCACCUAGAGUGUUCACUAUGUCCGUGAAUCUAGUAUACAUAGAAUACACAUUUGUUAUCCAACAUCUUUUGCCCAUUUGUAAAUUUCAAAACAAUCUCAUUCAACUCAUUGCUAUUUUUCUUAAGCAUUUCAUUUUCAUUUUUCAAAUCAUCUAUGUGUGAUUCUAAAUGCUGAUGCUAGGUUUCUCAUUUGAUAAAUGCAAUUUCAUCAUGCAAUGUUUUGUUCUCUACUUCUAGGCAUAUAAUUCUUGCAUUUAGAGAUUCAUUUUCAUUUUUAAGCUUUGUCAUUUCCUUUUUAAGACAUACAUUCUUUUUACCAAUUUUCAUCAACUCAUUAUGCAAUUCUUUAAAAGCAUCAUACAAUUCAUCAUAGGUGGGAUCACUUACCUCAUUGAGAUCAUCACCAUCUCCUAUUGCCAUAAGCACUAGGUUUGAUAUUUCUUGUGACCCUUCUUCAUCACUUGAAUCUUCCUCGCUAUCAUCCCAAGUUGCAACCAUGGCUUUCUUCUUAAGUUUGUUGAUAAGUGGGCACUCCGAUCUUAUAUGGCUAGGCUUCUUGCAUUCAUUGCAUGUGAUUACCUCUUUCUUCUCCCUUUGGUUCUUGAAGUUUCUGAAUUUUCUUUGCUCUCCGGUUUUCUUGAAGAAUUUUCUGAACCUCCUUGCUAGCAUGGCCAACUCUUUAUCAUCCGGUUCACUCUCCCCAUCACUCUCAUAUUUUGAAGCUUUGAGAGCAAUGCUUUUCUUCUUCUCCUCAUGCCCUUUUUCUGUUGCCAAAUCUUCUUUAUAUGAAAUUAGAGAACCAAUUAAAUCAUCAAGAGGUAAAGUAUUUAAAUCUUUGGCCUCUUCAAUAGCAGUUCUUUUAGGUCUCCAUUCUUUUAGAAGUGACCUAAUGAUUUUUUUUAACUUUCUCGUUAUUUGAAAAGGUCUUUCCUAGGGCUCCUAGGGUGUUUACUAUGUCCGUAAAUCUCGUAUACAUAGAGUACACACUCUCAUUUUAUUCCAUUUGGAACAACUGAUAUUGUCGAGUGUACCUACUAAUUUUCGACUUUUUCACUUGAUUUGUGCCUUCAUAGACUACUUCAAGUUUGUGCCAAAUUUCAUUGGCACUUUAACAACUAGAUACUCGAUGAAAUUCUUUCUUAUCAAGUGCACAAAAUAAAGCAUUCAUAGCUUUGGAAUUUAGAGAAGCUUUUCUCUUUUCCAAUUCAUUCCAUUCUCUUGAAGGUUUUGGAAUAUCUUUCCCUACUUCAUUUUUAGCUAGGGGCAAAAACGAACCAUCACAUACAACUUCCCAAAUUUCAUAAUCUAGUGCUUGUAAAUAAAUUCUUAUCCUAGUUUUUCAAUAUGGGUAGUCAUUUCAGUCAAAGAACGGUAGUCUAGUUGUGGACUGUCUUUCCCUAAAGGUUGAGUCAUUUUGGGUUGCCAUGGAUAUUUUACUCUAGAUGGUUAAGUCCUAACAAGAGAACCAAGCUCCGAUACCAAAUAAAAUAUAAGUGUGUAACCCAAGAGAGGGGGUGAAUUGGGAUUCUAAAAAUUAUUUGAUUCUAUAACAAAUUAUCAUGCAAAUCUAAAAUGAAUUUAAUGGAAUAACAAUUAAAUCAAUUACAGUAUAAAAAGAUAAAGGAAGAGAGAUUUAAACACGAAGAUUUUUACGUGGAUCGGCCAACCUCACCUACGUCUACGCCUUCAAGCUUUCCGGACUUGAGGAUUUCACUAAGCAAACCUCCAAGGCUUCAAAUGCUUACACUUGACUUUCAAGGUGUCAAUGAACCUUUACAAUAAGAGAUUAUCCCCAAUCUCUUAACCCAAGUGUAUCCCGACACUUACAAUCACUCAAACUAAAAGAUUAAAAAUAAUUUUUCUCUCACACAAUAUUUAAGAUUACAAAUCAAUGCCCAAUGUGUGAAUAAAUGAAGUAAGAAUGUGUUUUAAAGCUCUAUGAAGAUUGUAUUCUCGAAUAUAAGCUCAAUGGUCGUGUUGUGAUCAACCUUGUUUGAAUUUAAAUGAGCUUAUUUAUAGUUGGAGCUGAAAAACUAGCCGUUAUAGACUGUCUGCUCGCAAACAGUUCGCUGUUAACCAUUAACGGUUAACCGUUUAGGCUGGUCAAAGUUACCGUUGGGCCAAUUUUCUAAUAAACGGUUUGCUGUUUAGGAUUAUCCUUUCGCCGUUAAAUUCCAGAGACCUGCAAGAUAAACUUCACUAAAAGAUUAAAAAUAAUUUUUCUCUCACACAAUAUUUAAGAUUACAAAUCAAUGCCCAAUGUGUGAAUAAAUGAAGUAAGAAUGUGUUUUAAAGCUCUAUGAAGAUUGUAUUCUCGAAUAUAAGCUCAAUGGUCGUGUUGUGAUCAACCUUGUUUGAAUUUAAAUGAGCUUAUUUAUAGUUGGAGCUGAAAAACUAGCCGUUAUAGACUGUCUGCUCGCAAACAGUUCGCUGUUAACCAUUAACGGUUAACCGUUUAGGCUGGUCAAAGUUACCGUUGGGCCAAUUUUCUAAUAAACGGUUUGCUGUUUAGGAUUAUCCUUUCGCCGUUAAAUUCCAGAGACCUGCAAGAUAAACUUCAGCUAUCCGUUUGCAUUAAAAGGUUAAAGAUUUGCCCGAAAUAACCUCUCUAGAAUUUAUCGGUUAACCGUUUGUAAUAAACGGUUCGCCGUUUGUUUCCAGUAACCUAUAGAACAAGUUAGCCUUAUCCGUUUCAGUUAAACUUUUACCGUUUGUUUUCAGUAACAAGAUGAACACAGUUUUCCAUUCUGGAUUUUAAUCAGUUAACCGUUUCAAUAAACAGUUCACAGUUUAAUUCCAGUUGGCUUCUCAGCAUUUUGUGUUUUCCGUUUUUGUUAACCGGUUAGAGCUUAAGCAAUUCGUUACUCUCUGGAUUUAAUCAGUUAACCGUUAAAAAUAAACGGUUCACCGUUUAUUUCCAGAAUCAUAGUUUUAGCCAGAUAUUACAGAGAAUCAUUUUCCAAUUUCAAGUUUAACAGUUAUCCAACUUUUAUAAAUAUAAUUGAAAUGAUUAUAAGGCUUUCGUUUAUUCAUGAAUAGCUCCAACACUUUAAUCAAAAACAUUUAAAGUUUGUUAUCAUCAAAAUCAAUAUUAUGAACAUAUACAUGUUAACAAAUUUCUUCUCCAUUAAUAUGAGUAGAGCAAAUAUCACUAUGAUAUUAUGUGAGGGUAGAUAUUCAGACUGUGCCAUAUUAGAUGUAUUAAAAAUAAUUCCGAUAAAUUUUUUAUUGUAAAUAUUAAUAAAAUUCUGAUGGCAAUAUAUUAACCUAUUUAAAACUUAUUAAAAAAGCCAAAAUAUAAAUAUAUACCACCCUUAAACACGCAUCAUGAAUUUUCUUUACUCAUGUCUAAUUGAUGAUUUAUCAUGACGCACUAUACAAAUAGAUAAAUUUUUUCAAUUUUUUUUUGAAAAAGCAAUCAAGAUUUUAUUCCAUCAACAUAAGAAAGUACAAACAACUUGAAAUAUUAAAUUUGAUUUUGAUUUCCUCUCACCAAUUCAAUCUAAUUAUUGACAACAAAAUAGACCGGUCUGGAUAUCAAAUUUGAUGUUCAUUAAAGCAUCAGUGAUUAAUGUACAAUUAAAAUAAUGAUUGAUUAUUAGCAAAGAUUGAGUAAAUUAAUUAACGUUUAUGUUAAAUGAAAACCAAUCAUUUUAUUGAUAAACAAAGAUGGUGACUUACUACAAUCCCAUAAUCCAAAUCACAAGCAAGAAAUCCAAAUCACAAGCAAGAAAAAGCUCAAGCCAAUUAAACAAGUGAUAAUAGCAAGGCCUAAAGAAGGUACUAACAUUGCAUACGUUCCCGUAACGAAUGCAAUCACCAUUGCUCCCAUGGCAAAUACGGUGAACCAAAUGGAAGCGUGGAGCAGACCCUGAUUGAAAUCUUUAGUUUUUUCAAUUUUAGGAGCCAUCAAGAAGUGAGUAAAGACGGCAGAAAGAGAAAAGACCAUGGCAAUGGAAUCUGCUACUAUAAAUGCUUGAAAAGCUUUAUUUCUCCUUAGGAUUGCAGUUCCAUUUUCGCUUCUGUAACCGCCAGGAAUGGUGAAAGCUGCUUCGAAGGAUACCGUUGCUAUGAGUGCAGCCACUACCAAAUGUGAUGCUCUCGUAUCCUUGUAAUCUUCUUUAGUAACAUACUUUCGUACUUUUCUUAUGCGUAUAACACCUUUUGAAUAUUGUCCUCUGCCAACAUCUUUGGAUAAUUUUUGGAUUUCUUCCUGUAAUUAAUUUACAUUUGAAUAUUAAUUAAUUGCGUAAAAAAAUAAAAUUUAAUAAUUUAGUUGAAGGAACAAAUUAAAUAAUUACCUUGAGCUCAGUAUAGCCAUAAUUAAAAACGUGUCUGACACUAACAUUUUGUUUGUUGACAGCGUCAUAGUUGGCUUGAGUACUCCUAUUCAUAACAUCAUGGAAUUCUUUUGGUCGGACUGCAGCAAGCACAUGGAGAGGAGUGUUUCCCUCGGCAUCCCCCUCAUCUAUAAGACUCCUCGCUAACGGAUUAUUUUCAAGAAGAUUUCUUAGUUGUCCAACAUGAAAACUAACCAUAGCAUAAUGGAGAAAAUUACAUCCCCUGUUAUCGACCAGCUCGUAACAUUUUGGAUUUCCAGAAAUAAUUCGCUCAACCGUUCGGGCAUCCCCUUUGCCCGCUGCCAAAUGAAGAGCUGUCAUCUUUCGAUCUUUGUCAGCAAUGUUCGAAGCGGAUUGAUCAGUUUCUAAUAACAAAUUUAUCGUCCUGUAAUUUCCAUGAUAUGCAACGUAAUGAAUUGGAGUCCACCCAUAUUGAUCUGUUUCUUUGAUCAGAUUCUUCUUUUUCUCAAGUAAUUUCGGUAAUGCAGUAUCAACUGAGAAUACAGAAGAUAAAUCAAAUAAUAAUGAAAUUUUUAAUAAAAGUAAAUAUUCAGAAAGGGCAUAAAUUUGGGGGGCUAUUUAUGUUGGAGAUAUGAGGAAAAAAAUAGAUUUUUUUUUUUUUUUUUUAAUUCCAAACCAGCCAGAGGUCUAGAACAACACCAACACCAAUCACACAAUGAGUGAUGAAUAAUGGCUUCAGAUCGGUAACUUUGUUAUUUAGCAAAAUAAAAACUUGCAAUCAUUUCCCUGAGUUUGCAUCUAGAAAUCACAAUUUUUGCAAAAUUCACUAAGACACGUUUGAAGCACUAUUCUAAAGACCAAUUUGGUAAAUCUAAUUAUCCUAAAAACCAACUUUCCCUAUCUUAGUUAUCCAAAAGACCAAUUUUCACUAUAUUUACAGUUCUAAAGAUUAAUUUUUUAGGAGCAUUUCACAGUAAAAAAAUUAAUUCCUUCAUAACAGCACUUAAUUUCUUCAUAAAUUAAGAGUAUUUUUGUCAGUAAUAAAAAAAUUAAUUCUCCUAAGAAUAUUUAGUCAUUAACUGGAUUAAGUGAAUUAAGUAAAUUAAGUGGGAGAGAGAACGUGGCGAUCGGCUCAGAGGAGAGAGGAAACAGGUCGGGUCAACCCGUUCACGAAACCUGAAUCGGUGCUUCCGAUUCUGGCCACAUCUCCGGCGAUGGAGGGUAUCAACCGAACUCCCAGACGACGCGGUCAUUCCCCUAUCAUCAUUGUUGCUGGAAAACAGCCUAUGACCAGUCCACAAGCCCGUGUUAAGUCAUGGAGGACGAAAACUCAAAUCGGCGAGUUUUUACCUGAUUUCGAUCAUGUCGUCACCUGGGAUUUGUCGUUUAUGGCAGUCACUUCAAUUUCUGACCAUCAAACAGUGGCCGAUUUGUCGCCGAUCAGCCGUUGAAGUUUCACGGCUGUCGAAACUCGAUCGGGCACCAUGGCUACGCGUCGGAGCACACCGCUGCCACCUUUGGAUUCAGAGCGAGCUGAAGUUCCUGUUUUGACUUAUUUGAUCAUCGCCGCUCGAAUUCCGGUCAUCAUUGACCAGCGAGGGCAUUUUGGUAAUUUAGAAUUUUCAAGGGUAAUUUGGUAAUUUAAAAUUUUGGGAUAUUUUAUUAACUCAUGAAUGAGGAUAUGAUGAUAUCUCAUGAGCGUUUUAUUAUUGGUUUUAGACCGAUGGUGUAAUACACUUUUGUUACUUAAUCACGAUAAAAAAUAUGUAUCUAUUUUACGUGUUUCAAAAGUUUAUUUUGAUAUGUACGGGGUAUGGAUUUAUAUGGUCUGUCCAUGUAUUUAUGCAAUGUGUUGUUAUGUGUCAAAUAUGAUUUAUACACAUAUAUAUGUAUGUGUAAAAAUUUAUUGGCAUUAACAUGAAUAUGCAUUAUGUUUUUCGGAAAAUAAGAAAGUGGAUUCGAGCAAAUUGAUUUUGAAGAAAGAAAGAAAGUUUUUCGAUUUUGCUUAGUUUCUUGAAUUCUUUACUCGCUUAGUGGACACUGUAGAUAUAAUAUUUAAGAGAUAAGUGGGUGAAGGAAGUUUACAUGAAAACCAAAGUUAUAAAUGUUAAGUGAGAGUCUUAUUGAAUAGUAAUUGAAUGAAGGUAAUUGAAGUAAGUGAUUUAAAAGGAAAUGUGAAGUUUGAUCAUGGCAAAAGAAAUUUUAAAGAAUUUGUUUUAUAAUAUUUUUAAAAGACUGGCAUGUUAUCCAUUUGCAUUAUAUAUAAACAAGUAUGUAUUUUCAUAUAUGAAAAAUAAAUUUGCUUAUUGAGAUCAUUAUAAUUUAUUGUGAUUUUCAGAAAUUAUGAUUGAUUCAUGAUGAGUGAGGAGAAAAACCGGAAUUGAGAAUAGUAGUUAAAUAAUUCUCUUUGAGGGUAUAAUUAGAUUUAGUUAAUAAUUCACUAAAUUUAAUAAUUCGCUAAUUUAAUAACUCACUAAAUCUAAUAAUUCACUGAAAGGGUAUCAUUAAACUUACCGGCAAAAGAUCUCAUUGCUGCAGCAUGUAAAGCCGUCUUUCCGUUGGGGCCUUCAUGAGAUACUGAUGUGCUGUUUUCUAACAGGGCAAGCACCAUAUCAAAGGACGCUGAUGUGCGGUUUUCCAAAAGGCCACGCAACAUAUCAGAACGGUUCUCAUACUCAGCAGCCAUGUAGAGUGGCGUUUUGCCGUAAUUAUUUGCAGAAUAUGGAUAACCAGGGUCUUCUCUUGUCAGUAUUUUCACCACGUCCACGUUGCCUUGAGACACUGCCUCGUGGAGUGCUGUAUUCUUCUCGUUAUUCACCAUCCUAAUCAUUUGCCUGAAAGGUUCAACCCCGCUCUCUGGCUCUUCAUCUCCACGUUGAGCUAAUUUUGCUCUUUCAAUAAGAACUCUCACUAUCUCAAAAUGGCCGAAUUUUGCUGCAAGGUGAAGUGGAGUAUCGCCUUUGGCAUUAACUUGUAGUAGCAGUGCUGGGCAUUUCUCAAGUAUUUCUUCUACGAACUUCGUUGACACAUUUUCUCUUUCUGAUGAUAUGAUGUUGAUAUGCAGGAUUGUGUUUUUGGCCUUUGCUGUUAACAAUCUCUCAAUUACAUCUCUUUCCAUGUCUUUGAACGGUUCUGAAUUGCCCGCAGAUGCAGCUUUGAAAAAAUUUAGGUCCAUUUGCUGCUUAAUUUCACCAUUGCUGUCCAAUAAUGGAGCUUCCUCAAUCUCAAUGGAAACAGGAUUCAUGUUGGCGAAGUUGAUCUAUUAGAUAACGGUACCCAGUAUCUCGGAGGUACUCAUAGAUCUUCUUCUAACCUGACAUGUAUGUAUAUAUGACUUGAAAAGUGUAGUAUUUUUCACACUUCUUAAAUUCUUGCUUUUUUGACAAGGUAAGUAUCGACAUUAAUUCUUACUCUUUUGACAAACCAAGAAUUAACAUUUUUAACCUUGAUUUCUUCCUCAUGCUCUUUUAGUUAAAUAAAUAAAUAAAUUGAGAUUAGUCAUUCUCGUUGGCAAACUAAUCAAUUUCUCAAUUGUGUGCUUGUAUGUGUAAUUAAUAAUUAAUUAAACUGUGGCGCAAUAUUUUUAAGAACCCAGACAAAAAUAUAUAUAUACCAAUUAAUUAUUAAAGUUGACCAUGGUUUCUUCUAUUGUUUUGUCCUUAACAUUGCAAAAGUCUGCAUAGCCAUAUCCUCAAUCUUUAAAUACUGCAGCCUUCCUUAUCACAUUUCGAUCGGAUUCCAUAUACAGUUCUGCUCUUUUUGUUUGUUGGGUAAAGAAAGUGACUCUCAAAUGACUGCAAACAAUAAAAUAAUAGGGGAAUACUCUAUGAGUACUUCAUUAAUUCUACAAAAGAAAAGUGAUUCAAUGUUGCCUCUUAGCCUUCUUGUUACUUAUUAAAUCACUUCUUAAAAUGAUACUACAUGGAAUGUGUCAUUCAUGUAUUAAUUAUCGACAUUUAUAUGUUUUAUUUGACAGAAAAAUAUCUAAGAGUAUGGUUGGUGCAUUGUAUUACGGGAUAUUAAAAUACUAUUUACAUUAAAUUAAUGAUAAGACUAUGUUUGAAAAAACGAGAAUGGGUUAAAGGGCUGUGCAUUAGCUUACUUUUUUUUUUUGUUGCUUUUGCUUUUGCUUUUGCUUUUGACUUUUCUUUUAACUUUUGCUUUUACUUUAUAAUAAUAAUAAUAAUAAUAAUAAUAAUAAUAACUACUUUUUAAUUUAAUACAAUAUCAUCUAAUUUUUAUUUUUAUUUUUAUUUUUACAUUAUAAUUAUUAAUAUAAAUUAAUAAAUAUAUAAUUUAUUAUAACUAAUAAUAAAUAUGAAUAAUAUUAAUUUAAAAUUAAUAAUAAUAUAAAAUAUUAAAACAAUUUAAAUAUAUUAAUAUAAUAUAAAAUAUUAGUAUAAUGUAAUAUUUAAUUUAAAUUAAUCACAAAACAAAUCGAUACAGUGCAGUAUGACACCAAACAUUGUACAACAUUAAUCAAUACAGUACAGUAUAACACCAAAUAUUAUACAAUAUUUUUAUAAUACGGUACUAAUACAAUACAACAUAAUACAAUACAUUAGUAUUAAAAUAAUAAAAUACAACAUAAUACAAUAUAAUGUACUAAACGCACCCUAAGUGAUUUAUUAAUUAAUUAACUAUUAUUUAUGUAUAUGGAGAUUCUUUACCUUUUUUUUAAUCAAUUAACUAUUAUUUAUGUAUAUGGAGAUUCUUUACCUUAGUUUAACAUAUGUCGUUAUUCUUCCACGAACCUUUAAUUGAUUUACACGAGUAUCACAAUGGUUCCACUGGAACAAUCUUAUUAUGCAGUUCCCAUUCGACAACUUCAAAGUGUUACAAUUGUUUAGUUUAUACAAAAUGUAUUUACACACUCAGUCUCAAGUCCACUAAGGCCGCGAGUUCAAAGUUACAUCUCUUCCUAUACCCUUGAAAGGUUCAGUAUUUUAACAUUGAAAUCAUGGUCCAUUUGUUAGAAAUAUGAGUCAAUAUAGUUUCAUUAAAAGCCUAAAUCAGCCAGAACAGCUGUACACAAUGGCGUUGAACAAUCACUUGAAUACAGUAACUUUAUUAUCUAAAUGCUACACUUUUAUGUGGAGGAGAAUAGAGUUUUUGUGCAUCUAUCUGUUGACUUUUUGCACACGACAUGUUUUUUAGUUAACGUUUGUUUACUCUUUUAAUUGGCAAGAGAAAUGUUAAAUCAAUCAUGGGGUGACAGACCGCUGAGAAAAACAAAGGCAAAACGAUGAAGUUUUUUCAAUGGGGAAAAAAUUACUAACUCAAUCCCUAGGGUCGAGUAUUAACUAGCUCCACUCGCCCGACAACGGACAAAAUACAACCCUUGAAAAUUGGAACUCCAGGAUAAACAAAAGGAAAAGAGCCUUCGGAGAAGCCUAAGAAAUCACUGACAGUAUUUUUUCGAGAAGCAGCUGCCUUGACCUGAAAAAAAAUGUUAAAUCUUCUUUUUCUCUAAGUUAAUUUUUUGGGAAAAAGACAAACACACCCCCAACGUUUAGACAAAGGGACAAAAACUCCCUUGACGUUUUGAAAAAGAUAUUUACACCCUCAUUUACUGACAGAAACAAUAACUUUUAAUGGAAAUAGUAAUUUUAAUAUAUAAUUACCGUUAUACCCUUCUAACACAUAAAAAAAUAAUUGUUAAUUGUCCAAUUUAUCCAUAUAUUAUUAAUAAAAUUAUAAAUAUACCCCCAUUGCCCAAUUCCUCUAUUUAAAUUUUUAUCAAAUUCUCUCUUUAAACCAAAUAAAUUUAAUCCAUUACUCAAGAAUAAAAAUAAAUAAAAUUAGUUAUUAAUGCCAUAAGAAUAACAAUUCUCUAGGCCAUCCUAGGUUGAAAUCAUAAUCUGAUAAUUUGGGAUAAAAUUUAUACUAAUAAACAUUUUUUUUUUUAAUUAGCUAGUGACAAGUUGAAAUUUUUUUUUAUUUUAAUUUUAAGUUGGUGUAUACUAAAGAAAUCUUAAAACAAAAAAAUGAAAUAUUAUCAAUAUGGCUUUAGCCUAAGAAUAUUUAAAAAAUUCUACUAUCCUCGAUUCCCAUCCAAGAAAACGAAGAAUCCACGGAAUGCAUUUAACAAUGAAAUUUUUAUAUUUAAUUUCUUCCAAAAUUGCAAAUUUAUUCAUUACUAACUCUCUUUUUUAAUUAAGAUUUGCUUAAAUUCAUAUAAAUUUCAAGACAUAAAGAUUGCCUUUAAGGAGGCUAACCAAAAAAAAAAAAAAGCGGUAAGUAAGAAACCGUUUAUGAAUAAUAUCUUUAUUUUAUGAAAAAAAAAACAAUUUUCUUUUUAGAAAGACCAGCUCAGCCUGAACAACAACACCCAUCAAAAACCUCAACGGUGAUGAACAAUAGCUUGACAAUAGAAUUCUUUGUUAUUUAAAAAAAAAAGUUACAAUCAUAACCUUGUGGCUGCAGCCGGAAAACCAAAUAGUUGCUUCCUACAACGAAGAAUUUGUUAUCGGACCAACAAAUACGAACUCAGAGAAAAAUCCUCAAGGCGGGUGCAAAGCAUUGUCCUAAAGGGUAAUUUUCACUAUACUACAACAUCGGACGCUGUCAUAUCUUUGUAAUCAUAUUUAGGAUCGUCAAGAUAAUCUUUUGACCAGGCAGGGUUAGAUUAUGAAUUUAUCGUAUUUAUCUGUGUGAACAUAACAAAAAAAAAAAAACAAUUCAAAAGACAUUGCAACAUCAAGAAACUUGCUCAAAAGAAAGUUGGUAAAAAGACAAAUUACUAUUUUAAUAUUGAAUUUUAAAGGGUCCAAACCAGAAUAACUUAACUAUAAAUAUAUUUAAGUUAUUUUAAUAAAGAUUGAUUUAAGGACACGAAAGAAAAAGAUUUAAAAAUAAAAAUACCAUAAAAUUUAAGGGAUAUUGAAUUAUUUUUUGGGCUAACCCGGUCGAGCCACUACUCCACGUGCCAUUGCAUUUGGAUCUGGUCUUAGCAAUUUAGCACUGUCGUCAUGAAUAUAGCACCAUCUUGAUAUUGUCCUCCGCCAACAUCUUUGGAAAAUUCUUCCUCCUGUAAAUUGAGUGUGAAUAUGAAUUAAUUGCAUAAACUAAAAAAAAAAAUAAUAAUAAAGUAAUGAAAAAGAAAGCUGGAUUUAUAAGUUGAAAGAAUUAACAAAUUAAUUACCUUGAGCUCAGGAUAGGAUAGCCAUAUUUCAAAAUGUGUCUAACACUAACAUUUUGCCUAUUGACAGUGUGAUAGUUAGUUCGAGUCUUCCUAAUCAUAUAGAGUUCUCCUUGGCAUCCCCCUCAUUUAUAAGACUCCUCGCUAACGGAUAUUUUAGUUGAGUUUUUAAAUCAUUAAAAAAAAAAUGACUAUUCCAUAAUGAAAAAAGUUCCAUCCCCUGUUAUCGACCAGUUCAUAACAUUCUGGUGUAAGGGAAAGAAUUCUUUCAACUGUUCUGGCAUGCCCUCGGCCCUUUGCCGAAUGAAGAGAUGAAGUUUUUUCAAUGGGGAAAAAAUUACUAACUCAAUCCCUAGGGUCGAGUAUUAACUAGCUCCACUCGCCCGACAACGGACAAAAUACAACCCUUGAAAAUUGGAACUCCAGGAUAAACAAAAGGAAAAGAGCCUUCGGAGAAGCCUAAGAAAUCACUGACAGUAUUUUUUCGAGAAGCAGCUGCCUUGACCUGAAAAAAAAUGUUAAAUCUUCUUUUUCUCUAAGUUAAUUUUUUGGGAAAAAGACAAACACACCCCCAACGUUUAGACAAAGGGACAAAAACUCCCUUGACGUUUUGAAAAAGAUAUUUACACCCUCAUUUACUGACAGAAACAAUAACUUUUAAUGGAAAUAGUAAUUUUAAUAUAUAAUUACCGUUAUACCCUUCUAACACAUAAAAAAAUAAUUGUUAAUUGUCCAAUUUAUCCAUAUAUUAUUAAUAAAAUUAUAAAUAUACCCCCAUUGCCCAAUUCCUCUAUUUAAAUUUUUAUCAAAUUCUCUCUUUAAACCAAAUAAAUUUAAUCCAUUACUCAAGAAUAAAAAUAAAUAAAAUUAGUUAUUAAUGCCAUAAGAAUAACAAUUCUCUAAUCUUAUCUUAAUUGUAUUAAAUAACAUAUCCUAUAGACAUAAAAAUUGAUAAAAUAAAUAAAAUUAGUUAUUAAUGCCAUAAGAAUAACAAUUCUCUACAUGUCAAUCAUUUAAACUUGUAUAAUCAACAAAAUAAAAAAAAAGGCUGGUUACAACAAUAAUUACAAAAAUCUUAUCUUAAUUGUAUUAAGUAACAUAUCCAAUAGACAUAAAAAUUGAUAAUAGAUUAAAUUUAUUUUGCUUGAAGAGAUAAUUUGAUAAAAAUUUAAAGAGAGGAAUUAGGUAAUGAAGGUAUAUUUGUAAUUUUAUUAAUAAUAUAUAAACAAAUUGGACAAUUAAUAAUUUUUUUUAUGUGCUAGAAGGGUAUAAUGGUAAUUAUAUAUUAAAAUUACUAUUUCUAUUAAAAGUAACUAUUUCCGUUAGUGAAUGAGGGUGUAAAUAUCUUUUACGAAAUGUUGGGGAAUUUUUAUCCUUUUACCUAAACAUUGAGGGUGUGUUAGUCAUUUUCUCUAAUUUUUUUAAUGUAUCAACUGAUACAAAAAAAAUAAGUCUCACAAUUAUGAAGCGUAUUCAUAUUAAUAAAUAUACAGAAAGGCACAAAUUUGUUGGGCCAUUUACGUUGGAAAUUUGAGACAAAAUAACUUUUUUGAAAGACCAGCUCAGCCUGAACAACAACACCCAUCAAAAGCCUCAACGGUGAUGAACAAUAGCUUGACAACAAUAUUCUUUCUCAUUUAAAAAAAAAAGUUACAAUCAUAACCUUGUGGCUGCAGCUUAGAUCUCGAUUUAUCAGAAUCACUCUCUAUGUUAAUGACACAUGAGGGAAUGUUAGAACAACAAGCUUUAGCUGAACUAUGGAUGCAAAUCUGGCGUUUGCUGCAAAUUUUGUUCAGUAAGGGAACAAUAAUAAGAAAGGUUUUGGAACAUACAACUCAAGAUCUGGUUUCAAUCAAGAUGCAUCAAGAUCUGAAAAUUCUGGAUACAUGAUGCAAGGAAAUUUUAGAGGGAAUCAAGGUGGAAAUUUCUAUCGAGGAAGGAAAGGUGGAAGAGGAAAUAACAUGCAUGGAGGAAGAUCUUGGAAUCAAGGUGAGAGAACUCAAAUGCCUGGUCAUGUGCCUGGUCAUUUUUCACAGCCAUAUCAACCUAGAUGCCAAGUGUGCUUCAUCAUAGGACACACUGCUGCUACCUGCAAGGAUAGGUUCAACAAGGAUUUCAUUCCAGUCAUAAGGUAUCCACAUCAGAAUCAAGUUUUCAAUCAAGGCUACGGUCAAAGAAAUAUGUCAGCUUAUAUGGCAACACCAGAAGCAGUAAUGGAUGAUGACUAGUACCUGGAUAGUGGAGCAACUCACCACCUAAUCAAUGAUCUCAAUAAUCUCAGCAUCAGUGAGCCUUAUGAAGGUAAUGAAAAGCUUUUAAUUGGUAAUGGACAUGGCCUUACUAUUUCUCAUAUAGGAAGCACUCAUUUAGCAGUUGGAAAUCAUAGAUUAUUGCUCAAAAAUCUUUUAUUUGUGCCACACAUCACCAAAAAUCUUUUAAGCAUUUCUAAGCUCACUUCUGAUAAUUCCUUGAUCAUUGAAUUUUAUGGAAAUACUUGCUUUCUCAAGGACAAGAAGAAGAGGACAGUAUUGCUGGAGGGUGUAGCUAUGAAGGGUCUGUAUAAGCUGAAACUUGAGCCUGGAAGUAAAACUCAUCAAGCUUUAUUUUCAACUGUAAAUAAAGAGUCAUGUUUUGUUCCUAUGUCUAUGGUGCCACAUUGCUCAGAUGGUUUGCAGUCUUGUUCUUUUUCAAAUAUUCAAGCUAAAGUUGUUCAACACUCCUCUCAACAGUGUCUGUUGUCUCAUUCCAGUAGAGUUUCCAGUACUUCAAUAAAUAUCCUACAUAGGCAACUUGGUCAUCCUAGUUCAAAAGUCUUGAAACAUGUACUCACCAGUUGUAAACAUUUGCAGUUAAGCAAUAAAAUUCAAAUUCCUGAUUUUUGUGAUGCCUGCCAAUAUGGCAAAGUUCAUAAACUGCAUUUUGGAGCAACUGAACACAAAACAACCUCACCUCUAGAACUCAUCCAUACUGACUUAUGGGGUCCAGCACCCAUUACUUCUCUCAAUGGUUAUAGAUACUAUAUCAGUUUCAUUGAUGAUUAUAGUAGAUAUGCCUGGGUUUAUCCUUUGAAAACCAAGUCUCAAGCUUUAUCUGUUUUUGCCAUUUUUCGAACUCAAGUUGAAAAACAAUUUGAAACAGUCAUUAAGGUCCUACAGUCAGAUUGGGGGGGGGGGGGGAAUAGUCAGAUUGGGGGGGGGGGUGAAUUCAGAUCCUUUGUGAAUUAUCUUAAAAAACAUGGCAUUUUAUUCAGACAUUCAUGUCCUCACACACAUCACCAGAAUGGGACAGCAGAGAGGAAACAUAGACAUCUUGUUGAGAUGGGUUUGACUCUUCUUGUACAAGCUAAAUUGCCUCUCAGUUUCUGGUGGGAAGCAUUCUCAACUUCUGCUUUUCUCAUCAAUCGAUUGGCAACUUCUGUUCUACCAUCAAAUAAAUCUCCCUAUGAGAUUCUUUUCAAACACAAGCAUGACUAUGAUUUUCUAAAGUGUUUUGGCUGUUCCUGUUUUCCAUACUUGAGAUUCUAUAACAAACACAAAUUCAACUAUCACACUACAAAAUGUUUGUUUAUUGGUUAUAGCUCAUAUCACAAAGGGUAUAAAUGCCUAAGCUCAAAAGGUGUUGUAUAUGUUGUUAGGCAUGUUGUGUUUAAUGAGUCAGAAUUUCCUUUCUCUACUGACUCUCUUUUCUCUAAACAACCUUCUUCCUCUGCUUCUGAAUAUAGAUAUCCUAUGUUUAAGGUAUCUUCAGUGUCAGUUCCACUUCAUGACCCUUCAGGCUCAAGUAACACCAUUAUACAACCAUUUCAGUUGCCUGCAGCUUCAGCUUCUUCCUCCUCAUCUAGUUCUUUAUCACCUUCUUCUCAACCAUUUCAACCAUCUCAAUCAAAUCAUCCACCCUCCCACACCUCUCCUUAUGUAUCCCAAAACACUUCAAAUCAACAACCAUCCUCUACUCAAGUUUCACUGCCAAAUCACCCAAUGAUUACAAGAGCCAAAGCAGGUGUAUUUAAGCCAAAAUUUCAUGCCUAUUCCUCUGUUCUUGGAGAACAAGAGCCUUCCACAGUUUCUCAAGCUCUUUCAGAUUCCAAAUGGAAAGCAGCCAUGCAGGCAGAGUAUAAUGCACUUAUGGAAAAUAAGACUUGGAUUCUUGUACCAGCUUCUCAAGCUACUAAAAUUGUUGGGUGUAAAUGGGUUUUUCGCAUUAAGUAUAAUGCAGAUGGUUCUGUUUCUAAGUAUAAAGCACGGCUGGUGGCAAAAGGGUUUCAUCAAACACCUGAUAUUGACUACUUUGAGACCUUUAGUCCAGUAGUUAAAUAGUCAACUGUGAGAAUUAUCCUUAGUCUUGCUGUGAUGAAGGGCUGGAAAAUAAGACAAAUCGACAUCAACAAUGCUUUCCUUAAUGGAGAGCUCAAUGAAGAUGUCUACAUGUUUCAACCUGAGGGUUUUGUUCAGUCUCCAUCUGGUCAUGUUUGUCAGUUGCAUAAGGCUCUUUACGGUUUGAAACAGGCUCCUAGAGCCUGGUUUGACAGGCUAAGGAAAGCACUGUUGCAGUGGGGGUUUCAGAACUCCAAAGCAGACUCAUCUUUGUUCAUCAAACAUGAACUUGGAGGUAUUGUGGCUGUGUUAGUAUAUGUAGAUGAUAUAUUAAUUACUGGUGAUAACAAUACAGUAAUUGAAACAUUUAUCCAAUACCUUGGAGAUACCUUUGCUUUAAAAGAUCUUGGUGAGUUCAGUUACUUCCUUGGUAUUGAGGUUACACAUGAUGCAAAGGGUAGCUUACAUCUUUCACAGGCAAAAUAUGUAAGAGAUUUGCUUACAAGAACUGAUAUGGAAAAUUGUAGAGAAAGUGAUACUCCAAUGAGUACAGGACAGAAACUAAGAAGAGCAGGGAAUGAUGAUAACUUGAUUUUUAAUGUCACUGAGUAUAGAAGCAUAAUAGGUGCUUUACAGUAUUUGGUACUUACAAGACCAGAACUUGCCUUUUCAGUUAAUAAGUUGAGCCAAUUUCUUGCUGCACCAACUGAGAAACACUGGGUUGCUUGUAAGAAAAUUCUAAGAUACUUAAAGGCAACUGAAGAUUAUGGAUUGAUGUUUAAAGCAGGAGAUGGAAUUAGUCUGACAGCAUAUACAGAUGCAGAUUGGGCGUGUGAUGUGGAUGACAGAAAGUCAGUUGGAGCAUAUUGUGUAUAUCUUGGGCAGAAUCUGGUUUCAUGGUCCUCCAAGAAGCAACAAACUGUAGCAAGGUCUAGCAUAGAGUCAGAGUAUAGAGCAUUGUCAACAGCUUGUGCAGAAAUUGUUUGGAUUCAAGCUUUACUUGGAGAGCUUAAACUGAAGUGUAGCCAAAUACCAAUAAUCUGGUGUGACAACAAUGGUGUAGCUGCACUAGCAACAAAUCCAGUAUAUCAUGCCAAAACCAAGCACAUAGAGUUGGAUGUGCAUUUCAUAAGGGAAAAGGUAACGGGCAAACAAGUGGAGAUCAAGUAUGUACCAAGUGAGUGGAAUAUUGCAGAUGUGCUUACAAAGCCUAUGGCUUACUCUUUUUUUAAUUACUAUAGAGACAAGCUUAAUGUUGUUCCACAACCAUUAAGCUUGAGAAGGGGUGUUGAGAUGCUUAAUCAACAGCAGCAUAUCAAUGGCUGAGAUUCACUUGACUAGGAUUGAUGAGCUGGAUAGCUGAGUUGGACAAAUUAGUUAGAUUGUUAUUGUUUAGCUUAGCUUAACCAAUAGUUAUUUGACAGCUGUUACAGAGGUUGUUACUUCUGUUAAUCAGCAAUAUAAGUUGAUGAAAGCUUGAAUGUAAGUGUGUGAUUCGAGAUUAAUAAAAUUCUCUUAUUCAGUUUGUUUUUCUUUCUUCCUUCGUCACUUUCCUGCUAGCCAAACAGAUUGUAUGCUUAAGGUUUGUGAAUUCUAACUGCUAUAUUAAAAUGGCCGAAUUUUGCCGCAACGUGAAGUGGAGUAUCACCUUUGCCAUUAACUUGUGUUUGUAGUGAUGGGCAUAUCUCAAGUAUUUCCCCUACGAACUUGAUUGACGCAUUUUCUGUUCAUUGGCAUAUGAUGUUGCUAUGCAGGAUCGUGUUCCUGGCCGGUACUGUUAAUAAGCUCUCAAAUAUUUCUCUUGCCAUAUCUUUGUAGGAUUCAGCAUUGCCAUCAGCUGGAAACUCAAGUAAAUUAUCCGUACUCAGUUACUCUUCAAAGUAGAAGCAUGACCGAUUAAGUUACCUGGAGAACUGAAAAUAAAAAAUAAAAAAAGGUAGAUAUUCUUUCCGGUUAGGUUUCAAAUAAAGCAGAGAAAAUAAUUGAAGUUAAGUUAAAAAAAAAANNNNNNNNNNNNNGAGAAUACUCAGACGAAUUCAAGUUGGUCAAGAAAGCCAAGUCGAGUAGUAAAUUGAGUCAAACAAUAAGUCGAGUAUUCAUAUAAUGCUCCUGGUGGACAAGAAAUCCUGUAAGCUGGAUUUAGAUCCAGUACUGAGCUUAGCUGUGCUCAUCUCUUCGUAAACAUCUACCACACAUGCAUGGAUAACAAUUUAAGAUGAAUAUUUAAUUAAUUUUAUAUUCUUAUCUUUCUAAAAGAUUAACAAAAACCUCAGCUCAGCGCUGAAUACAAAUUCCUGUAAACUAGGAACAUAAAACUCGAUGAUCACAUGAAAAGCUUAAAUUCAAAUUCAAUUGUAUUCAUGAUAUGAUUAUUUCAAACAACCAAAAAUACUUAAAACAAAAACCCAAUUGUGAAACUAAAAAAAAACCCAAUUCUCAUAUUCUCCGAAGAAAACACUAAAUUAAUUAAUUAAUUUUAAAAAAGGAAACAAACCUAAAUUCAGGUACCAGGCAAAAAGAUUGGGGAAGAAAAAAGAAUAGGAAAGGAAAUGAACCUUGGGAGUCCAAAGCGUGUCGCUUGAAGCAACGCCGUUCCAAGCACGGGAUACAAGGAGAGUCGGUGCUACGCUGCGUGCCUUUAGGUUUUGAAGUAUCUUCAACAUUAUGUCUCCACCAAAAGCCUCCAGUGGAUCCUGCAAUAAUUCUUCAGUUUCUUCUUCUUUGAGUUGUUCUUUUCUUUCCUCUCGAUUUCUCUUCUUUCACAGUUUCAUCUUCGUCUUCUUCUUCUUCAGUAAAACGACAUCGUUUUCCUGUUCUUCUAUUUCUCGCAGUUCCAUUCUGCGUGGUAGUAGCUAUUACUACAGAGCAAGCGAAUGAAAGGAAUCACCCGAAGCCGCAAUUGCAAUAACUCCAAAAAACAUCAAAAUAUAAAAAUAAGUUAAUGCUAAAAUGCCCAUAUUUAAUUUUUAAAAAAAAUUAUUUACUGUAUGUAGAAAUAUACAAUCGAUAAAUUUACUAUUUUUUAAAUAUAAUAAAUUUUACGUGGCUCAAACUCAUUCUCUUGUAGAUAUUAUUGAACUACAAGCCUUUAAGUUAAAAUGCUAAUACUUUUGAAUUAUUAUUUUACUCGAUUUUUUUAUAUCACUUGAUUUAUUAUUCAACUUUGUUAUGAAGAUUGGGGUCCAACUGUGUUACUACGGUCGUAACAUACCACAUUCUUUUGUCUUUUCCUAAUCCACCGUUAGAUUUAAUUCAGACCAAGGGUAAUGGCUAAGAUGUUUUUGUUGGGUUAUUAAUGUUAUACUCCCUAAUGUUUGCUACAAAAUUACAAAAGUAACAAAGUUUAAAAUAUUAACACAUAAGUCCAUAAAUUUACAAUUUAUUAUUCAAUAAUAUUAAAACAUUUUAAUUAUAUUAUUAAAUAUUAUAUAAAAAAUUAUAACAUAAUAUAAUAUUAUUUAAUUAUAUUAUAAUAAUUAAUAAAUAAAAUUGAUUAUUAUUUAAAAAUUUAAUAUAACUAACAAUAAAUACUUAAAUAAUAUAUAAAGAUCUGCUGUACGGCCAAAAUAAAAUUGAUUAUUAUUUAAAAAUUUAGUAUAACUAACAAUAAAUACUUAAAUAAUAUAUAAAGAUAAAAAUAUAAUAUAAUACUACAUUAUUUAAUUAUAUUAUAAAAAUUAGUAUAUAAAAAUUAAAUAUUUUUAAAUAUUUAAUAUAAAAAUAAUAAAUUAUUAAAUAUUAAUAAAUUUGAAUAAUAUUAAAUUAAAAUUAAUAGCAAUCUAAAUAAUGAUAUAAAUAUUACAAUUUAAUACACAUUAAUGACACACACUGUAAUAUAAUGCAUCUAAUGCAAUACAAUAUAUUGUGUCAAAUGACCCAGUUAAUUUCACUAAUAAAUUAAUUUAUUCUUAUAUUUGAAUUAAUAUGUUUAAAUUAAUAUUCUUUCUUAUUAAUUAAUUAGUUUAAUAUAUAGUAAAACCAUGUAUUAGUUACAAACAAUAUUUUAUGAUAAAUAUGAGUAUGAAUUUGAUCUCUUGUUCUUAAUUUGUAGUUAAUAUUUUUUUCAUAAUACUUAUUCAAUAUAUAGUAAAUAAUUUCAAUAUGCAAUAAAAAUAUAUUAAUCUACCAAUUAAUAAUUUUUUAUUGUUUAAUAAGAAGGUAUCAAAAAGUGUGAGGGAGGGUGGCAACUUUCUUGUCGUUUAUUCUUACAUCUACGAGCUUGAUAAAUAAGUUUAGAAUCUUUUAAAAGAAUUUGAAGGCAAAGUCAUUUUAUACUCCACAUGUAUUUGAGAACCUUUUUUCACAUCUCAUGGUCGAUAAUUUUGAGUUAGUGAUAAAAUUUAGUUGCUAAUUGCUAGAGAUAUGGAAUUGAAACUAGUGGGCAUGUAAAUAAUUCAAUCAUUUUUUAUAUCAUUUUAAUUAAUUAAUUUAGUAAAAAUAUAAAAUUAGUUUUAUCAAGGAUAUAUUUGACAUUUAAGUAGGUGUAUGGAGUAAAUUUUCUUUUUAAAACUUUGAUGAUGGUGUGUGAAUUAAUAAUUAAAAAAUACCCUCACAUUUUGAUUUAAGUUUCAAAAAAUCAAAACAAGUAGGACUAAUGAGUCAAAAUUUAAGAUUAUCGGAUUUUUUGUCUAAUUUUAGCAUAAAAUAGGGAUUCUAGUGUAAUUAAUCUAAAAGGACAAAAAAGUGCGGUAUGUUAUCUCUGUGGUAACAUAGUAGUAUCCCUGAAGAUUGAUAAUAAAGUUGAGAAUAUUUUUUUUUAUUUAGGAUAUUUUGGCCUUUUUAGAGUAUGAUUAUGUAAUAUGAGACAGUCGGGGUGUUAUUGAUCUUUUAAAAGAAAUAAAUAUAUAUUUUAUUAAAAAAAUUGUGGUGGGAGAUCACGUGGUUCAGGUACUGCUCUGUAAUGAUGAUAGUUAAUAAUAGUCCGAUAAUGCAUUCUUGCCACGCCGAGCUCCAAAACAAAAUCAUCCUUCAAUUGAAGGACGAAAAUCGGGCGUUUGGGCUCUGACUCAAAUAUGUGGCAAGAUGCUGAGUGAUUGCUUGGAAAAACAGCAAGUCGAUGACUUUGUUGUUUAUAGAGUCUGAAACGUAGCAAAUGGGGAGCAUCCACGCGUUGCAGGAGAGAGGAAAAGUUAGCUGAUACAAGAUCAAUUUGUACUGAGCUGUUACAUACAGUCUGUAACGUAGCUUGUCUGCUCCAAAUAACAUCAAAAUAUUAAAAAGUACGUUAAUACUAUAAUGCCCCUAUUUAAUUUUUAUAAAAAACUGUUUACAAUAACCAAAAAAUAUACUAUCUGAAAUUUGAAAAAUUCUAUGAUACUAUGAUUAAAAUUACGACAUUAUUAUCAUGAUAAAUAUAAGUUUUGUAAAUUACAUAUAAAAUUAUUAAAUAAAAGAUAAAAUUAGUAUAUUAAUAUAUAAGUGGUAAAUUAGUGUUUUCAAAUUACAAACAAAACAAACACUUAUAAAAUAACAUAAAACUUUGAAAUCAAUAUUAAUCUUUCAUUAAAUAAAAUUAGCUUAUUUAUUUAACUUAAUUAAAUAAAGAACAAAGUGAGUCAUCAAUUAAAAAAAAUUGUAUUGAAAACAAUUAGAAUAAGUUUUAUUGAAUUGAUUUAACUAUAAAUUCUAGAUUCAUUCUAUGACAUUCAUUAUUUUUUUUUAUUUUUUAUCAUAGUAUUGUUUACUACAGAGGUUAAUUAAACAAAUUAUUUUUCUUGAAUGCAUUAAGUCAAAACAAAAUAAAAAGAUAUAUAUAUAUAUAUAUUAUCAAUAAAAUUGUAUCUAAUUUUAUGUUUUAUAUAUAUUUUAUGUAAUUUUAAACUUUGCUUCUUACUUGUAUUUAAAGAUCAUUUGUGGUUGCUAUCAAGAAGAUUUAAAAUGAUGAAAAAUCACCUUAUCCUACGAGCAACUUUGAAAAAUAUGAAAAAGAAUAGUUUUUCAAAAUCCAAUUUUAAAAAUAAGUUUUAUCCUUAAUAAAAUUUCACUUAUAUCAUCAUAUGUAUUACAUAAACCCAAAACUAUCAUUAUUCCAUUUAGAAAAAAUAAAUCAAUAAAAAGUAAUCAUUAUUAUAAUGAGGUUGUAUAUUACAUUUUUAAAUUUUUUUAAUAAUUCUUAUAUUAAUUUACAUGUUUUACCUUACAUUUACAAGUCCUAUAUUUUAUUUAUAUAAUUUAUUUUUUAUCUUACACUUAAUGUUGAUUCAUAAGUUUUAUUUUAUAUUUAUAAGUUUUUAUUUUGUUUACCAAUAACACUCUAAUUUACCACUUAUAUAUUAACUGACUUGUUUUACAUUUCAUUUACAAGUCUUAUAUUUUAUUUACUUAAUUGAUGUUUUAUUUUAAACUUAUUAUUGAUUUACAAGUUUUUAUGUUAUAUUUAUAAGUUUUUGUUUUGUUUACCAUUGAUACACUAAUUUACCACUCAUAUAUUAAUUUUCUUAUUUUACCUUCCAUUUAUAAGUCUUAUAUUCUAUUUACAUAAUCUAUAUUUUAUUUUACAAUUAAUUUUUAUUUUUAUUUUUUAUUUAAAUUUAUAUGUCUUAUGUUUAUUUACAUAAUUUAACGUUUAAAUAUGGUAUCGAUGCUGUGAUUUUAAUCACGGCAUUAUAGAAAGACCUAAUUAGCUAAAAUUCUCGAUAUAGAUACUCGUAGUACAUUCUAAAGGUCGACUAAACAUUAAGUUCGAAAAUUUAUUCCAUUAAUACGUGGGGAGAAAUCUACUGUUAUUUAAAUAGAAUAAAUUUUAUAAGACUUAAACUCAUUCUUUCACAAGCACUAUUGAGUUAUAAGCCUACAAACCAAAAUUCGAUUUAUUAUUCAACUUUGUUAUGAAAAUUGAAAAUAAAGUAGAGAAUUUUUUUAUUUAGAAUAUUUUUACCUUUUUAGAGUAUAAUUAUGUAAAAUGAGUUAGUAGGGGGGUGAUAUUGGUAGUAUACUAGUAUGAAAGGAAUUGAAUAAAUUUUUUUCAAAAAAAGGAAAUCCGGAGCCGCAGGCAGGUCACGUGGUUCAGUUGUGCUAAGUGCUCAGUGGUGAUGACUGAUGAUAUCAUUAACUAGUUUUUUACGAAAGAAAUCGAGCCCAUACUGAUCUGAUAACACUUUCUUGCCACGUCGAGCUCCCAAAAGAAAUCACCAUUUAAUUGAUGAACCACAGACGGCCAGUUGGGUUCUGUUUCAUAUACGUGGCAGAAUCCUAAGUAAUUGCUUGGAAUAAUUAACAUAUGGAAUUAUAGAUUUCUGCACGAGCAGUUAAAUGGCAAGUUGUUGACUUGGUUGUUCAUAUUUAGAGGUGGCAAAAUCGGUGAGCGGAUUAUUAUUAAUUUAAAUCGGUUUAAACAUGAUUUAUUUAAUAAUUACGUUAAAAUAUUAAAUAUGAAAUAAAAAUAAAAAUAAAUGAGUGACAUGACAUCAUCCAUUAAAUAAUUGGACAAUCGUGUCACGAUAUCUAAUAACCUGCUUAAUACUUAUUUACACAACAUAUAUCAAAGAUUUCACACUUAUUUGACAAAAAUUCAAUUUUUAUAUAUUGAUAUUAUGAAAAUAUAUAAGUCUACUAAAAUAUUACAUAUUUAUACUACUCAUGUUGUAAUUCCAUUUAUAAUUUCAUAAAAUAAAAUACCAUAUAAAUGUUCAUCCUUCACAAAAUCAUUAUUUAAUUAACUGGGUAAAUGGUUCAAGAAUUUAAACCUAACCCAAUAGAGAAAAAAAUUAUGUUGACAUAUUUAAUAAUUAUGUUAAAUUUAAUGAUUCAAACCUAUUUUUUCAUAAUAUGUGUUUAUGUCUGUUCAGUAUAUUUCAUCAAAUUUUGUCAGUUCAAUUUAUAAUAUAUUAGAUAUUUAAAUAAGAUUUUCUUCCGAAAAAAAAAAUUAAAGUUCAGGCGUUUGUUUCAUACGUGUUCAUGUAAACCCCCGGCCGAUGCAACGUAGCUGGACUCGUCAUGUAAAUAUAUACCACCAAAUCUUUUUUUUUUUUCCUUUCUGAUACAAAGCAUUACUUUCGUUAAUUCAACGAGUGAAUACAAAUGUGCUCGGUUUUUUUUUUUUUUUUGGACAAAGGAAAUAUAAUUUCAUUCCAACAUAAUAUAAUAAUACAACAGCUAAUCCAUAACAAAUUGAAGAUCAAUCUAUAGAUAAUAUGUUAUAAUAAAUAAUUGAGCCUUGAGGAUCAAUCUAUAGAUAGUCUGUUACAAUAAAUAACGGAACAAACCAUUUACUUUCACAGUUCAUGUUGACGAAGAGGGAGAACACAACGCACCUCAAACACAAUUAAGAUGCAUAUCCACAAUACAUCAUGCAUCCAACAUGCUUGAGCUCUACCCAGAACAUCCCUAAUACUAUGUCUAAAUCAGGUUGUAUGCAUACUUUCAAGUUUAUGUCCGGAAAAUAUGCCCAUUCUGUUUUCUUUCGUUUCAUUUAUCCAUAGAUCUAGGUUUGUGGAUUUUUUGUUCCAACCUAUAUGGUGGCUGUGUUCCCACGCUCUAUGGUGGCUUGUGUUUGUGUUGCUGUGUUGGUUGUCUUUCAGAUUUCAUGUCUACAAGGAUCAGAUUUGAUAAAUAAGAGAACGUAAAAGAUUUUCUAUAGUUGAUCUGUUACAUUGCUGGUUGUAUUUUGAACCUAAAUUUAAUGUUUUUAAUUAGUCUUACGGGAGCAAAUUUAUAAUUGAACUAGCAAGAAUAAAAUUUUCCUGGCGACAUUUGAAUUGAUCGUGUACGACAUUAAAAGACUGUAUCAUUACAUGAUUCUUUAGUAUACUGAUACUAUUCGCACCACAUCAAAAUACGAAAUCAAUGAUUGUUUAUCUGUUGACUGCAAUGGAUUAUUUGUACAUUAAUCCAAAUGUUUGUGUAAUUGUCCGUGAUAGACUCACUAUUAUUUUCUUAUACGUUAAAUGGAUUAAAAGUGAGGGUUUUGUGUGUGUGUGUGUUCAUAUUUCAGCAAUAAAGGUUCUUGUUCUGUCGGUGUAAUUGGAUGGAUGGUUUUGCUUCAGUGUUCUGUCUCUCUCUUUCGUUUAUAGUUUUCACCAAUUAAUUGAGAGAAAACAAAUAUUGUUUGCUAAACGGUUGAGUAAAUCAACUAUAUAUAACUAGGAUCUGUUAAGUUACUUGGGUAUUAACGACUAAUUAUGUUUUUAAUUACUUUUGUUUAUUAAUAACUUUUAACAAAAAAAUCUAAUUGCAUUGAUAAUUUGAGUAAAUGUCAAAUAUUUUCUUUACAUUCAUAAGUGAAAAACUUUUAACAAAAAAUCUAAAUUUUCUCACUUUAAACUUUUAUCCCUCUAAAAAUUUUAUGACUAACCUGAUCGUUGAAGGGUUUACGCCACUAAAGUCGGCCCCACUAAAGCCGGCCCUUUGACUGUUUUUCUUAUGUUUAUAGCGCAUUAUCUAAUUAAGGUUAUCCCGUCACCUAAGGAAUAUAUACCUCUUACUCUUAAGAAAAAAUUCAAAUGAGUGUAAUUGAACUUCGAAAAUAAAAGGCACAACAUGAGAAGCCCACAUCAAGAGUUCAACAAAGUUUGAUCUAAUAAAGAGAAAGUUCAUGAAAUUACCAUUUAAUAAAUUGGGACAAAAUUUUUACGAGUAAAUUGGCGUCGUUUAUGAGGACUUCUAACUAAAAGUCUUGGAACUCUACUGAGAGCAUGGAUGUGAGCUAUGAGCAUUAUGACCUUGUGUUCGAAUACGGUGAGUUCUAGGGUUGAGGAAGCCCAUUCUCAAGGAAGAAGACCAUUGAUGGAUUCAUCAUUUGAUGGCCAGCUACAUGGGCAAGCUUGAUUCCAAAGUAAAGUGGAUUGAUUAGCUUAGAACUUUGAUAGAAUGUUUUAUCAAUUCCAAGCUCAAGUUGAGGAAAGGGAGGACUCAAGCGAUCCUAGUGACGAUGAAGUUGUGAUGAUGAACUUGAUUCGGGCUCCUCUAGAGCAAGGUACAUGGAAGGCUUGGAAGAAAGUGACCUUAGACACAAAGAUCUUGGAGGAUAGGGGCUAGAGAAGUCUUUCUCUCUCUAGGCUUUAUCUCUUUAAAUUUUAUUUUUUUAAAAGUCCAGUGAUUGGCCUGAUCGUUAAAGGGUAUACGUCAUUAAAACUAACUAUUUGAUUGUUUAGGUUAUGUUUGUAGGCAUUGUCUUAUCAAGAUCAUUCUCAUCACUAUUUUUUUUAAUUAGCUAUUAAAAAGUUGAAAGUUUUAUUUUAAUUUUAAUUUUAAGUUGGUGUCAGGCGUAUACUAAAAACAUCUUAAAACAAAAAAAAAAUACUAUCAAUAUGAUUUUAGCGUAAGAAUAUUUUAAAAAAUUCUACAAAAAUAUUAUCAUUUUAUCCCCAUCCAUGAAAACAAAGAAUCCACCGAAUGCAUUUAACAAUGAAAUUUUUAUAUUUAAUUUCUUCCAAAAUUGCAAAAUUAUUUGUUCACCAACUCUCUUUUUUAAUUAAGAUUUGCUUAAAUUUAUAUAAAUUUAGGACAUAAAGAUUGCCUUUAAAGAGGGGAAAAAAAGGAAAGAAAGAAAAUACGGUGACCAAUAAACCGUUUAUGAAUAGUAUGUUUAUUUUAUGAAAAGGAAGCAAUUUAUUUUUAGCGAUUUCUUACAUAUAUAUCUUUUGAUGAAGCCAAACACAUGAAAGAAUAAUCUCAACACAAUUAAACAAGUGACAGUGGGCAUGCCUAAAAAAGGAGCUAACAUAACACUUAUUAGUUCUGAUGGUUGCAAAUUUGCAACAUCCGAUAAGGAGUAGCCUCCUUUAAACUUAAGUCUAGAGUUCGAGCCUUGCUAAAAAGAUGGAGUAUAUCUUUUUCCAGUGACGAUUUCUUAACCCAUGAUUUUCUUUUUCACUGAAAUAUCUUCUGAUGACCAAAAACGCAAAGAAGAAAUAGCUCUAAGCCAAUUAAACAAGUAAUAAUGGCAAGGCCUAAAGAAGGUGCUGACAUUGCAUAUGUGCCCAUAACGAAUGCAAUCACCAUUGCUCCCAUGGAAAUGAUGGCGAACCAAAUGGAAGCAGCGAACAAAUCAUCAUCGAAUUUUUUGAUUACUUCAAGCUCAAGAGAUACUAUAAAGUGAAUAAAGAAGGCAGAAAGAGAAAGGAUCAUGGCAAUGGUAUCUGUUACCAUAAAUGCCUGAAAAGCUGUAUUUCCCCUCAGGAUUGCAGCGCCAUUUUCGCUUUUUUAACCACCAGUAAUAAUGAAAGAUGUUGCGAAGGCCUGUUGCUACGAGUGCAGCCACUACCAGAUGUGACGCUCUAGUAUCCUUGAAAUCAUCUUUAGGAUAAAUAGGCUCUUGCAAUACAUGUGGUUCUCUUAUGGAUACGAGUAUUGUCCUGUGCCAAAAUCUUUGGAUAAUUUUUGAAUUUCUUCCCGCAAUUUACAUUUGAAUAUUAAUUAAUAAAUUAAUAUACAAUUUGAAACCAAAUAAUAAUGUUUGGGGGAAAAACAGAAAAAGUAGCAGAACACCACGUGUCGAUGAACAGAAUAACUCCGGUAUAAUCUGAGGUACCCGGCAUAAUUCGAGGUACCCCACUUAAUUCGAGGUACCUCUCAUAACUCGAGAGUAACUCAAGGUACCCCGCUUAAUUCGAGAGUAACUCAAGGUACCCUGCAUAAUUCGAGGUACCCCACAUAACUCGAGAGUAACUCGAGUUACCCGGAAUAACUCCAGCAUAAUUCGAGGUACUCGGAAUAACUCCAACAUAAUUCGAGGUACCCGGAAUAACUUGAGGUACCAUGCAUAACUCCAGAGUAACUCGAGGUACCCUGCAUAAAUCGGGGUACCCCGAAUAACUCGAGGUACCCAACAGAUCAGAUGCAGAAGAACCCUCUGAAAAAGUCCGCCAUAAGAAAUGUUUCCACAUAAUUCGAGGUACCCGGAAUAACUCGAGGUACCAUGCAUAACUCCAGAGUAACUCGAGGUACCCCGCAUAAAUCGGGGUACCCCAUAUAACUCGAGGUACCCAACAGAUCAUAUGCAGAAAAACUCUCUGAAAAAGUUUGCCACAAGAAAUGUAUUCACCUCUUAAAGGAUAAUGUUUGAUUUUGUCAGAAUUAGAUAUCAAAAUGUCAUACUGAAAAGUAGCGACAGCCGCCUGCUACCUCUGCCAAAAGUGAAGGACAAUGUCCCAAGGACAGUGGUCCUCAGCCGCCUACCAGACAACCACUGCAGAGGUACCCUAGACCACUCUCCAGCGCGCGCCACGUUUCCAAAGGAUAAGAUACGCCGCGAAUGCCUUCUUGAUUCCCAAACAUGCACAUAACAGCCCAAAAAUGAUAAAAAUGUAAAAAGACGUGAAAGACCUGAAAAUGGAUAGCCCAUAGCCAAAAAGAAUAUGCCACGUGGCAACUGAGGUACUCCAUAAAUAAACGUGUCUAGGUUUUAUUCUCCAUAAAGUUCUCAUUCACUCACACUCCACAAAAUAAGUUUUCUUCAACCUUAAACCUUGAUUUAUAGAGGGCUGGCAAGCUCUCUUUACUAUUAAAAAGCUUGAGUUUUCUAACUUGAGCGUCGGAGUGUGAACGCCGGGAGUACCCCGGCUUCACCUCAAAUCUCUAUUUCACUGUUUUGCAUUGGUGAAGCUCGUUUCGAAGACCAUUUUUCUUGGUUUAAACCUUUCAUCAUUGUUACCUUCAGAAGCACUACACACAAAAGCUUGAGUUUGCUAACUUUUGAAUUCAGAAGCAUCACACACAACAAACUAGCGAGGUACCUCGUUUCCCUUAAAAAUAUAAAUUCAUUGUUCUAGAUAGAUUUGCCUUUUCCUACCCCCAAAAUCUGUCGAAAACAAAUAAUAAUAAUAAUAAUAAUAAUAAUAAUAAUUGCCUUGAACUUAGGAUAACAAUAGUCCAACAUUUUGCAACGCUAACAUUUUGCUUGUUGAUGGCCUCAUAGUGGCCUUUACUCUUCCAGAUAAAUCGUCAAAGAUUUCUUUUCGAUGAACAGCAGCAAAAAAAUGGACAGUAGUGUUCCCCUUGGCAUCCCCCUCAUCCAUAAGACUACUUGCUAACAUAUUAUCUACAAGAUUUCUUAAUUCUUCAACUUCAAACCUAAACCCAGCAUAAUGAAGAAAAUUUCAUCCCCAGUUAUCGACCAGUUCAUAACAUUCUGGAUUUCUAGAAAUAAUUGCUUCAACUACUCUGGCAUCCCUUCGGCCCGUGUACCAAAUGAAGAGCUGUCAUCUUUCGAUCUUUGUCAGCAAUCUUUGCUGCAGUUCGAUCAAUCUUUAAUAUUAGCUUAAGUAUCAAGUAAUUUCGAUGAUACGCAGCGUAAUGAAUUGGAGUCCACCAACACUGGUCUAUUCCUUUGAUCAUACUCUUCUUUCCUUCAAAUAACUGUUGAACCGCACAAUCAUUCUCUUUUGAGAGUAUUAAGACAAAAGAUGAAUAAAAUUAUAGCUCAAAUUAAAUUUUUAACAUCCAACCUCAAAUUUAAACUCCAGUGUCCAACUAGAUAUAAUUCCCCUGUGCCAACAGCAAACUUAAUUAAAACAACACUCCAAGAUUACUAGAAACAGAAUGAGCAAAGUUCUUGUAGAAAAAAGAUAUCAAUAUUGAAAUUCCUACUGAAAGGGUAUGAUUAAACUUACAUAAAUCAAUGUGCAUUGUUGCAGCAUGUAAAGCCUGUCUUUCCAUUGGGGCCUUCAUAUAUAUAUGGGACACGGAUGUGCAGCUUUUCAAAAUGGCAACCACCGUAUGAGAAGAGUGCUCAUACUCGGCAGCCAUGCAAAGUGGUAUUUUGUUGUACUUAUUUGCAUAAUAUGGAUAAUUAGGGUCGUCUCACGUCAAUAUUUUCACCACAUCGUCAUUUUAAUGAAAUACUGCCUCGUGAAGAGUUGUAUGCUUCUCUUUAUUCGUCAUCCUAAUCAUCUGCCUGGAGGCUCCUACCCCACUUUCGAGCUCUUCAUCUUCGUGUUGAACUAAUUUUGCUCUUUCAAUAAGAACACUCACUAUAUCACAAUGGUCGAAUUUUGCCGCAACGUGACGUGAUCGAGUAUCGCCUUUGGCAGUAACUUGCAGUAGCAGCCAUGGGCAUAUCUAAACUAUUUCUCCUACAAACCUGGUUGACACAUUUUCUGUCUUCUGCAAUUUGAUGUUGAUAUGCAGGAUUGUGUUCUUGAUCUUGCUGUUAACAGGCUCUCAAUUACCUCUCUUGCCAUAUCUUUGAAGGGCUCCAAAUUGCCCGCAGCUGCAACUUUGAACAAAUUUGGGUCUAUUUGUGGCUGACUGGUCUCACCAUUGUUGUCCAAUAAUGAAGCUUCCUCAAUCUCAAUGGAAACAGAAUUCAUGUCGGCGAAGUUGAUCUAUUAGGCAAGGGUGAAUAGUAUCUCGGAUGCACACAACACUUAAUUUUGAAGUGAAGAAAAAGAGAAGCCAUAAUUCUAUAAAUAGGACAAGUAGUAUAAUUUUGCUUUGGACCUUUUUUUUUUUUCUUCCUUUUGAAGAUAGGGGAUUUACAACCACUCCUUUGGAAAUUUCUGAUGAACAAAAGAUCAAUAGACUAACAAUCGAGUGAUAUUUUAUUAAUAAUAAUUAUAUUUAUGAUUUUAACAAAUUGAUCAUUUAAAAUAUGAUAAAGAAUACAAAAUUGUAUAAAGGUUUUUUUUUUUAAAUCUCAUUAAUUGAUCAAUUUACUAAGUUCAUCUAUUAGUCAAAAUUAGAAUGAUAAAAAAUCAUUAUAUAAUAAAGAUUCUUAAUUUAUCUGUUAUUGUUUAUAGCAGUUGUAGUACAUAUAUUAAUUAAAAUUUAUUAUGACUGUAAUUUUCAAUAUUUCAAAAAUCCCCCUCUCUAUUUCUUUUCUUUUAUUGUGCGUUUUGGUUAUUUUUUAGGGAGAUAGGCCCCUGAUGCAACUUACAGUUACAGUUGACAUGCCUAGUAACGAGAGAAUCUUGCUCACAAUCAGUAGAGACUAGAGAGUCUAUGGUCAAAAUUCUUUUUUUUUUUAAAGAGUAAUUUGAUUUUUCAACCACUUUCCUUUUUUGUGGUCAACUAGUCAUAACUCACAAGGCUGACAGUCACUAAAUUUAGGGUGCAUUUGGGAUUGAGGUUGGACAACUAUAGCUACAGCAGUAAAGUGUUUGGUAAACACUAGCUGUUGUAACUUGAAAGAUAUGUUAAUAUGAUUUUUCACUUAUAUAAUGGAGAAUCUAUUAUAUCUUUAAUAAUUUUGUCAAAAUUAUUAUUUAAAUUUAUAUGUACUACAUAUUAUUAAUUUUUGUUUCAUAAUUACAACUUUUUUUCACAGCAGUUGUAGCUUAAAAGUUACAAUAUCUCAAUCCAAACACACCCCAAAGUGGCUUCUUCACAACCGGCAACUAUCCACUUACCAUUGGUUGAAUGCGGGAGUGGAGUCGUGUCUUUUGAAAGUUAAAAUAAAGUUAGAAGGAAACAAAUUCUCAAUGUGGGUUCUUAGAUCAAUUUUAGGACAACCACAUGAUUUUGCUGAUGGAAUGAAUGUCAUUAACGUGCUUAUUGUUGGGAUUUAGAAAAAAAAUAAUCUGUUUAUUUUUGGGAUUUAAAAAAAAUGAGGAAUGAGCAUUAUUAAUAAUAUUUAAUUGCUAAAAAUACAAAGAAAUAUAAAUAAAUUUUGAUUGAGUCUCAUAAAUUUAGGAAUGAGAAAGAAUUUCAUUUAAUUAGAUGGAAGAGGCAGGAAUAAGAAUGGAGAAAUGAGAAUAAAGAGUAAAAAUCGUUUAUCUUUAUUAAAAAUUAAAACUUUCUUUUUACUCCAUUUUGGUAACUUACAAUCAUCUAUUCUAAUUUUAAAAACAAAGUAAACACAUCAAGUUUGGAAUAUUGUUGAUUUCGAUCUCAUUCUUGUAGUUGAAGUAGACAAUUUAUUCUUCUACAUUUUGAUUCCAAUUCAUUAUAAUUCUUGUCGAUUAGUAUUCAUUGUUAAUAAACACACUAUUAGUAUAUUUUCAAAGAGACUAUAUUUUUUAGUUUCAUUCUAAUUCAUCUCAAAUCUCUCUCAUAUUGAAUACUUUGUGGAAAUUUAUUAAAGAUAUUUCAAAAAGAAUUUAUCGACAAAUCUAGCUGCCAUCUAUAUAAAUAUAUUAGUUUUUUUUUCUAAUUAGUGCUUCUUAAAAAGAAUCUAGCUCAGCCAACCCAAAUCAAUUUUUUUCUCCCUCAGCCUCUCAUAGGAUUUGAAUUCGGGUAAUUAAUAAAAUAAAAUUAUUUAAAAAUCACUCGCCUAAGUCUUUGAGGUAGUUUAAUCUUAGAUAAACAUUAAGGACUUAGUUAUCAAUUAUCCUAUUAAAAUUAGUAUGUUUGAGCAUAUGGCUAAGGUAAGCCAAAUCAAGUACAGUUGACGUUAUAUGUGAUAGAUUAAAUGGUUUAUAGAAGUGAGUCCUCUGCGAUAUAUAUCAUACAACCUAAUGCAUUUGAAUUUGUGAAUAUUGAAUUUGAAAGUAUAUAUUUGGUAGUCUAUUUUAGAGUAAUUAAUUUUAAUUAAAAAUAACUGUUGUAGUAUUAUCUCAAAACGUCACCUAAAUUGUAAAUUUAAUUGAUAAAAUCUCACGACUAAGGUCAAGAGGUUUAGAGACUUUACCUAAAAGUAUAAUGGUAAGUAUUGGCAUUUUGCCUUUGCCCGCUUUAUCAUGGUCAAAAAUCGCCUUUUGGGCCAUGGAGUGGCUCAUGUGCUUGUUUUGCACAAUCUUUAGGAAUCCAAAGUCGAUUUUGUUUUUGGUUCACAUAUAUUUCCAUGGAAUUCAGCAGAGAGCAGAUAAUUAAGCUAAUUCGGAGUUGGGAUUCCUUUCUGUUCAGUGGUGGGACCAAAAAGGGAGGGAGAAUGGGCUGAGCUUGGACAAGCCCAGGCUCAAGUCUGAGCUCAUAAAAGCCCUUCCACGUUUGGAGGGGCUGAACAGAACCUGGCCCAUCAUGUGCCUGAGCUUCCAAAGUCUCAACCAUUUCAUUUAUUAGUUUUCGAUGGUUGUUGCAAUAAUUCCUUCAAAGUAACGUCCCCCCCUUUUGGUCUUUCUCGGUCUUAAUUCAACUCAUUUGGUGAUACAGGAUUUGACUUUAAAAUGAUAUGUCAUUAUCUCUAUUGAAUGGUAAAAUUUUUAUUUACUUAUACAAGUAAUCAUGUUCUUAGCUCAUUAGUACAACUUUUGAAUCCCAAUUAUUAUUGGACUCGAUUUCUCUUCCAAUUAAGUUGGAUAGGAGUAGAUUUCUCCUCCAUUAAUAUGAGUAGAGCAAAUAUCACUAUGGUACUUUGUGAUAAUAGAAAUUCAAACUGUGUCAUACUAGACUUAUCAAGAAUAGUUUUGAUAAAUUUUUUAUUGUAAAUAUUACUAAAAUUCUGAUGGCAAUAUGUUAACCUAUUAAAAAAAACCAAAAAAAUAAAAAGUAAAAAAUACUAUACCACCCUUAAACAUGCAUCAUGGAUUUUCUUUACUCAUGUCUAAUUGAAGAUUUAUCAUGACGCACUAUAUAAAGAGAUAAUUUUUUUCAUUUUUUUUUUUGUUGACAAAGUAAUCAAGGUUUUAUUCCAUCAAUAUAAGAAAGUACGAACAAUUUAAAAUAUUAAAUUUGAUUUUGAUUCCUCUCACCAGUUCAAUCUAAUCAUUGACAACAAAAUAGACCGGUCUGCAUCUCAAAUUUGAUUUUUAUUAAAACAUCAGUGAUUAAUGUACAAUUAAAAUAAUUAUUGAUUAUUAGCAAAGAUUGAGUAAAUUAAUUAAUGUUUAUGUUAAAUGAAAAUAAAUCAUUUUAUUGAUAAACAAUGAUAGUGACUUACUACAAUCCCAUGAUCCAAAUCACAAGCAAGAAGAAGCUCAAGCCAAUUAAACAAGUGAUAAUAGCAAGGCCUAAAGAAGGUACUAACAUUGCAUACGUUCCCGUAACGAAUGCAAUCACCAUUGCUCCCAUAGAAAAUAAGGUGAGCCAAAGGGAAGCACCAAACAGAGCCCCAUCGAAAUCUUUAGUUGCUUCAAUUUUAAGAGACAUCAAGAAGUGAGUAAAGACGGCAGAAAGAGAAAAGACCAUAGCAAUGGAAUCUGCUACUAUAAAUGCUUGAAAAGCUUUAUUUCUCCUCAGGAUUGCAGUUCCAUUUUCGCUUCUAUAACCGCCAGGAAUGGUGAAAGCUGCUGCGAAGGCUACCGUUGCUAUGAGUGCAGCCACUACCAAAUGUGAUUCUCUUGUAUCCUUGUAAUCAUCUUUGGUAUCAUCAUUUUGCCNNNNNNNNNNNNNNNNNNNNNNNNNNNNNNNNNNNNNNNNNNNNNNNNNNNNNNNNNNNNNNNNNNNNNNNNNNNNNNNNNNNNNNNNNNNNNNNNNNNNNNNNNNNNNNNNNNNNNNNNNNNNNNNNNNNNNNNNNNNNNNNNNNNNNNNNNNNNNNNNNNNNNNNNNNNNNNNNNNNNNNNNNNNNNNNNNNNNNNNNNNNNNNNNNNNNNNNNNNNNNNNNNNNNNNNNNNNNNNNNNNNNNNNNNNNNNNNNNNNNNNNNNNNNNNNNNNNNNNNNNNNNNNNNNNNNNNNNNNNNNNNNNNNNNNNNNNNNNNNNNNNNNNNNNNNNNNNNNNNNNNNNNNNNNNNNNNNNNNNNNNNNNNNNNNNNNNNNNNNNNNNNNNNNNNNNNNNNNNNNNNNNNNNNNNNNNNNNNNNNNNNNNNNNNNNNNNNNNNNNNNNNNNNNNNNNNNNNNNNNNNNNNNNNNNNNNNNNNNNNNNNNNNNNNNNNNNNNNNNNNNNNNNNNNNNNNNNNNNNNNNNNNNNNNNNNNNNNNNNNNNNNNNNNNNNNNNNNNNNNNNNNNNNNNNNNNNNNNNNNNNNNNNNNNNNNNNNNNNNNNNNNNNNNNNNNNNNNNNNNNNNNNNNNNNNNNNNNNNNNNNNNNNNNNNNNNNNNNNNNNNNNNNNNNNNNNNNNNNNNNNNNNNNNNNNNNNNNNNNNNNNNNNNNNNNNNNNNNNNNNNNNNNNNNNNNNNNNNNNNNNNNNNNNNNNNNNNNNNNNNNNNNNNNNNNNNNNNNNNNNNNNNNNNNNNNNNNNNNNNNAGAGUAGUUUAUUGUCUUAUGUUAAUAAGAGAAGAUAAAAGGGUUAGGUUAGAAGCCAUAAAAGUGAGUUAAUAUGAAAAAAAUAAAAAUUGAUGGGAUAUUCUCCCAUAAUCUAUUAAUGUAAGUUAUUAGGAAAAAACUAUUUAUUCCGACUUUAACCCCGAAUCCGCGUCCCGAAUAUUGCCAGAAACGGUGUGUUUGCUUUGCUUUUCCUUUUAAUUCCAGUUGUACGGUGCGUUUUGCUCUGGUUGCUUUCCUUUUAAUUCCAGCUGUGCAGCAUGUGAGCAUUCUCUUUGUCCUUCUUUUUGCGCCUGAACUACAACACUCCGCUCAGAACUUCCAAUCUGCAGACUACAAACUGCAAAACCCCAGAGCUUCCAAACUGCAAAAUGCCAUGGUCGUUUAAAAUGUGCAGACCUAACUACUCAAUUACGCAUGGUCUUUCCUCCCCCCGAGAAAGAGAAAUGUUAACUGCUGAAAAUUUGGAACAACAAUUUCUAGAGUUUCAAUUUCCCCCGCAAGCAUUAGUUUUGAUCUUAUUCUUCCUACAUUUAGUGAUUGUUUUUAAAAUCGUGAGCAGUUUGAUUUUAAAUUUAUAAAUCUUGAGCUAUUUCAUUUUAAUUUGUGAGCUAAAUCAUGAGCAUUUGUAAAUUUAUAUAUCAACAUCAAUUAGCUUUAAAUUUUCACAGGUAUAAAAUUGUAAAUUCUUUAGCUCAUUGCUAGAAGAAAUCUUAAUCUUUCAGGCAAACAACAGAAACUUAACAAGAGAUCCUCAAGAAAGUGUAAGUUCGAGAUAAGGUGAUAAAACUCUUCAUCAAUAAACUAUAUCGAAUUCAGCUUCACUUUUAAAAUGUGCAGACUUAACUACUCAAUUAGGCAUGGUCUUUCCUCCCCCCGGAAAGAGAAUUGUUAAUUGCUGAAAACUUAGAACAAUAAUUUCUAGAGUUUCAAUUUCCUCAACAAAUAAUCUAAUUCAUAUAACCUUGAGUUUGACAGCCCUUGAGACACACAAAUGCUUCAAGUCCCAACAAUCAUAACAAAACAAAUCUUCAAGCAAGGAGCAUUCACCAGUAAGCCAUCAGACCAUCUGAUCAUUUACACACAGUAUACACAGUAUUUUCACUUAUGACUUCAAAACCUAAAUCUUUUACCAUCUUCUCAAUGGCCAAUCCCAAUCCAUUCACCAGUCAUACGAGCUGAUACUUUAACAUCUAGAAGAGUCAGGAAUACUCUCAAUUUCGGCAAAAAAACCUUACGCUUGCAGAACUGAAGCAGGGAAUCGUCUACAUAUUCCAUAAAUUUUUCAUCUUCCUUUAUUGACCAACAAUUUCCACCAUUCAACCCACUUGACCCCCAACGAAGUAAUUCAUUUUGAAAUCCACAAUAAGAAUGGCAUAUGUAACUAAUUCCAUCUCUUUGUGAGUGUCGGCUAUCGCGUGACUGUUGGUGAUGGCAACGGAGAUCUCGAUCACGUGGCGGUGGUCCGUCGUCUGUGCCGGAUGAGUGUGUAUGAAAACAAAAACAAAAUCAGAAAUCCAAAUUGCCUAACUAAUUUGGUAGAUGGAUGUUUUCUGACCGAGUCUCCGUUUGUUCCCAUAAUGGCGGUGAGAAUCCGAUCGAGUCUCGAUGACAGCUCAUUGCUACGACUCGUGACUGUGUCCCUUGAGUCUUUAUUUGAAAAUCCAAAUGCCGACGACGACGGCUGCCUCCACGAACGGUUCUGAAAUCACACCGUGCGUUGAUGACGUGGCGGUGGCGAUUAACAACAGGAACUUCAACUCGGAGGAGAGGUUCAACGACUGUGAUUUUUUGCUGAAGCGGUCGUAUUUGUUCGGAUUCGAGCGGAGUCUUGCGUCGGAGAGGAUGGUGACGGAGGCGGUAACGGCGUCGCCAUGGAGGCACAAGAGGGGGAGUUUCUGGAGCAAACGGCUGUCUCUGUUUGGCUCAUUGACGAAGUCUAGAGCCUUCUGGAGCAAAGGAUUAUAUACGUCCUUUUUGUUUUCCUUUUACUGAGAUUGUAGCUAAAGCCGGUUACCCAUUUUCUAAGUGUUAAACCUCAGCCGUUGAUUACCUUUCUUUACGAUCUAAAGGGUCAUUUGCAAAAGGACAAAUGACUGGGGUACCAAACCUCUGACGCAAUGUAGCUGGACCCUAUUAAAAGAGAUAAAGAAAAAGUCAAUUGAUAAAACGGCAGUAAACACUACAUUGGAGUAUGUGUUUCUUCCUGUCUUUCACUUUAGUCAAGCUUUCUCAUUGGAAAGUUAUUCUAUAUUUCUAUGUCUAUUUGGCGAACCGGCAGCACUUCAUUCUAGACACAUAGAAGCAGGUGUCCUGUACCACCAACCCUGUGGCCAUCAGGAACACUGGAGUAGCAGUAGAGGAUAUUCGACAUUUCCCAGCCCCAGUCCUUCUUCCUAGAGACAAGCAUAUGCGGCCAGCAGCGGUUUAUUCUAACAUAGUGCUCCCUAAUCUUUCCUUCACCAACAACACUGGUAACUAUAGAGUAACAGCAUUCAUGCCCACCCCAUACCUUGUCACCAGGAUCUGCAGUUUGACUCCCAUCUUCAUGAAAGUAACGGUGCAUUAGAGGGCUAGUACCCUUCCAGUAGGGAUCGAGAUUAAGCCAAUACUCUGGUACCACCUGAAGGCAAAAUGGCAUUCAAAGGCAUUCAUCCGAUCAAUUGAUCAUUUCAGUUUCCAACAAAAUAGUAGAAAGCUGCACAGUAAAGUAAAGGACACACAACAAAUGCCUUGGAUGCAUGCUAAGAAAUGUUUGAAUAUAGGAUUACCAGGAUUAUCAUUUACUUGUGACCAGUCCAGGGAAUAGUUACAUGAGUGAGUGCCUGAAUUAUGAGCAAUGCCUUACAAAUAGGCAGAUUAUAAUUCAUGAGUUUCGUUCCUCAUGGUCCGAAAUUUCAUUACCAAGGCUACACAUGAUCAAACUUUUAAAGCGUCAAAACAUUAAUGUUUUAUAUGUUCACAUUUCAAACUCAUGCAAGUUCUAGUAAUUUUGGCAGCACAUCAAGGCCAGACUGAAAUCAAGAGGCGAGUCACCACUCACCAGACCUUACCAAUAAUUCAUAACGUAUAAGAAGCACUGUACUAAAUUACAUACCUCGUUAAAAUGAAACUCCCAAACAUGAUCACAAAGGUCUUCUUUCAUGAUACGAGUCUAAGAAAAUUUAAAAAAAAGAAUAGUUGGUGAUAGCUUGCUCAAACAUGCAUAUGGAGAGUGAGUGAUUCAAAAGAGAGACAGGAGAACAAAGGGAGAUUGAUCAGCACUCACGCGUUUUCCAUCCGUGACAGACAAUGAAUAUGCGGCCAGCUUUCAUAACCCCUGGACUACAGCUGAACGAGGUAUGUGCGCUUCCCCCAACCACAGUUCCUCGCACUAAAAUAGACAGGAAACUCAAGUGAAUUAUCUUUACUCAGUUACUCUUCAAAGUAGAAGCAUGACCCAUUAAGUUACCUGGAGAACUGAAAAAAAUAAAAAUAAAAAUAAAAGGUAGAUAUUCUCUUCCGGGUAGGUUUCAAAUCAAGCAGAGAAAAUAACUGAAGUUAAGUUAAAAAUAUAUUUAUCUUCACAAAUCAUGCAAUCAGAACGAAUAAGCAACUUAGGCCAUAAGGCAGUAAAAACGUGCAUUGGCAUUCACAGUUCAGUUUGGUUUUAUAUAAAAAUAUACCCCAAUCCUUUAAAUAAACCAAUAAUUUACCCAAGGUCUAGUUUCAAUCAUAAGAAAGAGCUUCCUAGGGCCCAGGAUUUUGAAAAAUAAAAUAUACCAACAAUAUACCUCAACUAAGUUACUUUACAUAGAUAUAUCCUUAAGGGGUGAACAAAGACAAAUAGAUACUAGACAAAAAAUAUUCAGCUUAAAUCAAGAAUACUCAGACGAAUUCAAGUUGGUCAAGAAAGCCAAGUCGAGUAGUAAAUUGAGUCAAAAAUAAGUUGAGUAUUCAUAUAAUGCUCCUGGCGGACAAGAAAUCCUGUAAGCUGGAUUUAGAUCCAGUACUGAGCUUGGCUGUGCUCAUCUCUUCAUAAUCAUCUACCACACAUGCAUGGAUAGCAAUUUUAGGUGAAGAUUUAAUUAAUUUUAUAUUCUUAUUGUUGAGAAGUCAAUAUUAGCCCAAAUAAGUCCACACCUAAAUUAAUUUGAUGUCAUUGCUUACAUCAAUUUAGUUAGGUGAAAAUUAGGUAUUUUUCCCAUGUUUAAUUUCAAUGGUUUAAAUUAGUUUGUGGUUAUUUUAAUGAGUGGUUUAGAUUGUUUCUUGUAAUCUAUAAAUACCUCAUUUGUAUUUGAGUUUUAUAAUUCAACAAUCAAAGCUUUAUUAUAAGCAUUUGAAAGUUUUCUUUAGAGUUCUUCUCUUUUGCAAUUUUGUGAGAUUAUUCUAAAGAGAGUUUUUCUUCUUCUUGAUCAAUUAGAGUUUUUACUCUAUUUUG
RNAcentral lists this long non-coding RNA (69537 nucleotides) under Citrus sinensis (sweet orange). Its description in RNAcentral is "long non-coding RNA (CSIN_LNC004387)". The record is from RNAcentral. Lineage: Eukaryota; Viridiplantae; Streptophyta; Magnoliopsida; Sapindales; Rutaceae.